This 52545-nucleotide long non-coding RNA is filed under the name Musa acuminata (dwarf banana). RNAcentral describes it as "long non-coding RNA (MACU_LNC007428)". The record is from RNAcentral. Lineage: Eukaryota; Viridiplantae; Streptophyta; Magnoliopsida; Zingiberales; Musaceae.
AGAAUUUGUCUAGCAUAAUCAAAGGUCAUUUACCUAACAUAAUAAAAGGUAUAGAAUUCACCUAGCACAAUAUAGAACUGAAGAAACCGCAUUGCUUCCUAAAAAACUCUCUAGCAUUAGCACUUUUCAACAAGCCGUUAAUCCUGUUGCGCAAGAAGCAACUAAAGAAAUCAGUCCACCAGCACAGUCCAUUCUCGUCGACAACACUGGAACGGAACCUUGAAACUGCUUAUUCUGGGCUUAAACUUCAAGUAAAGCACCGAACAUGAAACUAGCACCGAACCUAGUCCACUUGAACAUCCGAACUAAACUACAGCCGAAAUCCUUACAUGCGGGCGCAUAGUUAACAAGGAAUUCCAGCAGUAUAGUGAAAUCAAAGAGAAAGAUGAAUUGAACUGAUGCUGACGCACAACUAACUAACGGAGCUACGACGCAGAGCUACUAUCUACCUACUUGCUUAUGAACUACAGUCAAUCACCUCUCUAUACCGACGUUAAGCCAAUAACAGAACUAUACGACCCGCGCUGAUGCAGGGUCUUUUUUGACUUACCUAUAGAAUAGUCACACUAGAUUCUAUUCAUGGUUUACUUCACACUGGCCUAUCAUUCUUGUUGAGUAUGGAGCGGGUUCGGGUUCCAAUCAAUAUUCUUUUCCUUAAGCAAGGGAACAAGCAAGGGAAAUAAUUCUUUCACUUUAUGGAAAGGUGCUAUAAUAGGUGACUUUAACGGGUGGGCGUGAGCUUCGUUUUCGUCAGCAUAAGAGGCAGCUGAAUCGAAUCCAAAUGAUUGAGCCCGAAAGAAGCACAGUUAUAGAAUCAAAUGAUUUAGCCGCAAUAGAAUAGGCAAAGUGGAGAAUCAUUUAUAUCCCUUCACCCGAUAUAGGCACAGUUAUAGAAUCAAAUGAUGGAGUUGCUAUAGGCACAGGUUGAGAAUCUUUCAUAUCCCUUCACCAUUCAUUGCAUCUUUCUAGCAUAUUCAAUAAGACACUAACUCCUAACUCAUAACUCACGUAAACACCAAAAACUGUAAGCUUAGCGAGCGACUUUAGCGUUAGUACUUAGAGUGGCUUGUUCAGUGCUUUACUCUAAGUCCAGCUGACUCUUUCAGAACUUAAGGUACAGUGCUAUGUGAAUCAAUUAUAUAUUAGUUGCGCCUUAAGCGUUAGAUUACUUUCCAGUAUUAGUGGCGACUAAAGCUAACGGUGACUUUCCUGGGUUCCUCAAUUCGUUCUUAAAGCUAGGAUAGAAAGUAUUGUUUUGAAACCACCAGUGUGAAGAAAUCCACUAAUAACCUUAUGGGGCAAGUAGUAUCAUUGGCGAAACAAAGAGAGCAGGCUGAAACUAAAAACUAGGCAUUGAGCACUGCCCAACAAGAACCAAACCCGGAACUAGUACUUGGACUAGCGCUGGCAAGGCUUUAACCCAACACUAAGGCUUUCAUUCGGAACUGGGGAUUGAACGAACCACUGAUGACAAAGCGCGCACUGCUGCUUUUAAGGCUUUCAUCAAGGUAGCAAACUACUCGUGGAAUUACUAUAAUCAAACUAACUACUAUUAUUUCUCAUAUGAAAACACACGUAUAAAUGUAAGUGAAAAGAAUAAUGAAUUGGAAUCUUAAUCGGGAGUAGCAGGACUAACUAACACAACUGAAAGGGAAUUCGAGGUACAACGUUGCUUGGUGAGGACGAGUUGAGCUCCUAUGCUUACUGCUUAUACCAAUGAGUUGAGCUCCUAUGCUUACUGCUCUUAGUCUAUUGCUGGGUAUAUUACUACAUGUGGUAGUCCCGUAUUACUAAUGCCCUUACCUUAGCCUUAUAGUUCACCAUCCAAGAAUGGAAGAAGCAAACGUCAGACUUGAAGUCGGGAAUACAAAUAAGGAAUAAUAAUAGUAUUUCCAGAAUACUGAUAUACUUUGACUUAUGUAUUGAGAAUAUCUACGUAGUGGUCCCUACCCUAGUAUGAGUCGCUAGCCUAGUAUGAGUCGCUAGUAGGGAUCGAUCCCUCAUUAAAUACUAACGAGUAAGGGUCGGGUGCUUUUUACCUUUCUUCUAUUUGCAAGUAUUCAUUAUCAUAUCCAAUAUUCUCAAGUAUUUUCUUAGGUGCUUUUCCCCUAGUGUUUUCCUCUAGUCUAUUGAUUGAAAAAGUACAAUUGUUUUUAUGUUUUCAAUAUGUUUGUUUGUUUUUCGAUUUCCAUAUGUCUGUACCGGUUCUUUUGUUUAGAUAAUGGGCUUUGAUGCAAGUUGCCCGAUGGAAUUGAGCUUCUGCUGUCCCUACUAGUUCUAAUUGCUUUCUUGACUUCCUACCUAUUAAUAAAGUGUUGACUUCCUACCUAUUAAUAAAGUGAGUAUAUGGUGCGUUAGCUUAUUAGAGUUUAGGGCGCGCCAGGCAAUAAGUGUGGUAGCAGCGUCUUUUCUUCACGUGGAAUCGGCACCUUAAUUCAAAAACUCUAGGUAAUUCAAUAACACCUGACUCAUGUUAUAAAACAAAGGACAACUUUCUUUCCAUGGUCGAAAUGUGUGAGCGGCAAUUGGCUCAGACAUAGGAGUGGAUUCCAAGUUUCCCUCGACCUGUUCACCACAGAAAGCAAGAUUACGGAAAGGCAGGCAGGCUUUUCAUAGAAGGUUUGAGUCGGAGUUGGGCCUGUGUUCAUGUCGUUUGUGAGUUAAGCGAGUGAAGAGGAGCAUCUUACUCUUAGGAAACUUCUUCUGAUCUCGUUGACUCAACUCAAACAGUCAAACAAUCAUUUCUUACUGAUAUGCAUAUAAAUGAAGUAAUCUGAUUCCUGCUGACUCUAAUGCUCUAUAAACGGACUCUGCUGGCUCUGACCUUACAAGCGUUACUGUUCCUUUCCACUUAACCGACGGAUCUUAUCUUCACGAUGAAACUAUGAUUCACGGCAAACUAAGCAUUCGUUCGGAGUUGACAAGGGAUAUGGCUCACUUUCUUAUAUUAUGUGAGUAUGGAUAUGGAUAGGCCGGCAGCACUCCCUUUUAGGUCAGAAGAGUUCCUUUGCAAGAAAACAACCUCUGAUACGACCAAACAUUUCUAAGGAUUCCUACAAAAUGAAAUGAAAUAAUAUCAUGUUAGAAUAUCUGACAGAAGCAGCACUCUUUCAGUUGGAUGCCCUCUUCUUCCUGGCAAGAUAAGAUCCAGAAUGGCCUUUGGUUUGGCUAGGAAAGUACAGCUAGUGCAACGAAGACUGCUAAAGCAGCAGCAAAGAGAGAGGACCGGGAGAGACAAGACACCUCUUAUGCCGGAAAAGGAAGAAAGUGAAGUAGAAAGUGCUAACGCUCCCAUUCCGAAUCCAAGAGAAACCUAAGAGAAUACCAUGCUACCAGCACCGAAUCUAAGGGAAAGCAUUUGAGCAAGAGGAAUGAAAGAAAAGUGGAAAUUUCCUAUUAGCUACCAGCACCGAAUCUAAGGGAAAGCAUUUGAACAAGAGACAGAAUCCAAAUAUUCAAUGCUAGCCGACCCAUCCUCCCAGAUCCGCAUCAGCGAGUGGUGUGACGACGACCAACUUGACAUUGAAAAUCACGAUUGGAAUGUCAUCUUACUCGGUAAAAGAUAGAAGAAGCGGAACGGAUUUCUCUUUUAUAUGAUAGGACUGCUUGCUGCCACUUCCUUAUGACAUUACCUUAUGACAUUACCUUUUAGACAAUCUCCGAUCUACGAAUACCUUGCUUGGGUCAGGAUCUUAUUAUUAGUGGAAAAACAUAGCCCUAGCUAGAUUCACUUAGUGGAAAAACAUAGCCCUAGCUAGAUUCACUUAGUGGAAAAACAUAGCUCUAGCUAGAUUAACUAAGCCGAAUCUCUCUUUUGACUUUCCUUAAAGGAAUUGAUAAGACAUAAGGAAGAGAUGAAACGAGUUAAGAAAGAAGAAGGGUAGAGAAAUGGGAUAACAUAGAGAGUAUGCCUCAUACUGACCUAAUCCGCUUCAAGCUUCGGUGGAGGCCCUCGCCCUCGCUUCGUAGACGUAGACAACAUUCCUUCCCGUGAAAAGAGUUUGUCUCUUUCCUCAGUUUGUUAUAUCUCUUUCCUCAGUUUGUUAUAUAUGAAUGCAUUUGAAACCCCCCCUCCACUUGAAUCUGUUUGGUUCUACAUAUGUUUGGUUCUACCAUGAUACUUUGGUUCCUUGGCAUAAGUCUGCUAUACUGUUACAAUAAAUUGUCACGGGUUCUGAGGCAUGAGUUAGAAUACCUAGACGCUGCAAUAACCUCCUAAACCAAACUGCUUCCUUGCUUUAACCUAAUCUGAAAACUGCUUCCUUGCUUUAACCUAAUCAAUAUCGGGCCGUGUACACAUCAUAGCAUACAUCAGGCUUCUUACAGCGCAGGAAUAGGUGACUCUUUCUUCUCUCUUACGAUCUUGACACCAAGCACAUAGCUAGCAUCACAGUUCUUUUUUUCUCUGGUGUUCUGUAUUUCUCUUUAGUUAUCUAUAAAUUAGUACUAUGAUAUGAUAUCUUUGCUCAAACUCCCUUUGCUUACUCUUUCUCUUCAGCUUCAAUUACAGAGCGCUUCCUGAGACAACGAGGGCGGGGAUCGGUAAGCCCCUUUUUUCUUUAUAGGAUCUCUCUUCAAUGCUUUCCUCUUUUAAAGACAAAUCUUCUAGUAGUGCUAAUUACGCUUUGCAAUUCUACAAAAGGAUUCCUAUUUGCAAUUCGAUAUUGGAAAUGGAAAUAACACAGCAACCACCUAUUUGGGGAUAUUUUAGACGGGAAUAAUGUUGGACUUUUGAGCGCCAGAGAUCCUCCUCCUCUAUAGCAUAAGUAAAAGCAGAAAAGGUAGCGGGCGAAAAGAUACGCGGCAAGGAAAGCUAAGGGAAAAGAAUAGUCAAUUCCUUUUCUUCCUUAAGCAUCUACUGAUCAAUAACGGAAUCUAAGUCACUAAGGGAUUCACUUUUGAAAAAGUCAGAUCGGAUUGAAGCCUACCGGUGGCUUACUCAUAUAAUAGAGAUCUUCAUUUACCAGGUCCUUGAAUCCAAAAGUCAAAGGGUGAAAGAAAGCAAAAGUAUUGAUAUUGACUUUCAAAGAAUAACCACUUCAUUUACUAAAUAUCAUAUCAGAGGGCUAGAAACGGAUUGAUACUGUCUUCUCUUUUCUCGUUUACAUAAAAGCUAGGGCCUUUCUUCAUUCAUGACCGAGUAAUAUGCUUUAAAUAGACUUCGCCGAAUCCCUUUUCAUUACAUACAACCUGACUUUGCUACUUCUGCUACCGUAGCCACAUACAACCUGACUUUGCUACUUCUGCUACCGUAGCCCUUGCUGAUUUACAGGAUUGGCCCCCUUCCGCUUCCCCCAUUGUAAACUCGCUUGCCCCGGCUCAAAGAACUCUCUUUAGGAAUGGACUUCGCUCACUUCAGCCCAAGCAGCCAUUCUGGAUUAAAGGACACAAGCCUGCUAUUCACUCGCUUUCCAGUUGAAAGCCUUAUUAUCUAGUCUUGCCGGUUACACCCUUUCUUGCCAUUUACCAUUCUCCGGGUAUUUCUUCUUUUAGGCUGACGGCUUGGUCAGAUUAGGAUGUUGCUUCUUUAUCCCCUCCGAUCAGGAUCUGCCAACGCCCGAAGUCACUUCACUCUAUAUCUCUGGAACCGAAAGAGGGUAAACCGUGAGCAAACUUUCGAGCUGGGAGAACUAAGGCAUUUCCUUACUAUUAAAGAACUAAGGUGCUGAAAGCCUACUAUUCAUCGUUAUCUCGAACCAAAGAAAGCGGAGUGAUCAUCGUUAUCUCGAACCAAAGAAAGCGGAGUGACAAGAACAUCAAACUGCUGACCAAGUAAAGUCACUUAUGGGCUACUGAUGCCAUCCCUCUGUCUAAUUGUAUUGGCCUCUCGGUGAUAGAUACUAUUCCUGGCUCUUAGCACCUUCCUUCCAUCCUCUUCUCCGACUUCAGCAGAAACAAACCUAAUUAUCUCAUGUCAACAGCGCAUUCGUUCACUCAAGCAUUUGUUAGCUCCAAGUCCAAGAGCCUAUCCGGUACCAGAAGUGUUGGGUUCAUUUGUAUUUCUCUUCUUUAGCUACAGUAGAAUAGCCUAAACAACUCCGUCGAACUACUUCGUUCCAAACAGAAUUCCGAAUUCUUAGACGGAUGAGACUGAUCACACCUCAUCGUUGAAAGAAGGCUUAGACCCUGAAUGGAAAAGGGCACAGUGUUAGAUGGAAAGGAAAGAGCCAGAAAUCAGAGACCCCUCGCUUCCUUCUAACGCCCAUUAUAGGAUAUAGGUCCAAAAAAGGAGUUCGAUGAUCUUUCCUAGAGCUUCCGCUGCUCUUAUUACUGCUUCCCUUCAGCACGGCGUUACAGAAAGCGCUGACUCAAUGGGCCUCAUGCCUGCCUAUAUGUCUUUAUUCCCCCUUAGAUUGGAUAAGGUCUAUAUUCCUGAACUCUCUUUCUAGAUUGGAUAAGGUCUAUAUUCCUGAACUCCCUUUCCAGAGGGUUUAGAUCCGGGAUUUCCUACUAAGGGCUUCCUUCCCGAGUUCGAUGCCUGCAGAGCCUAUGAACAAACACUCUAACUAAGACUAAAGAUGACACUUGGACAUGUGCUUGUGGAAAGGUCUAAGAAAAGGCUGGGUCAAUAGAGGCAAUAGAAACCAUACUUACUCAUCAUGUAAAUAAAGGGCAAAAGUGGACAAUUGACAAACGAGCGGAGCUAUUUACGGUCGAAACGCAUACGGGGAGGUGGGACUCGUUUAAAUGCAAGGACGCUGGGAGGAAACCCUCUUGGAUUCUCGGGCAAAAAAAACACAGAAUGGGGCUUAGUGAAAACGGGCUUCGAGAAGUCGUUCUUAGCAAGAAAAGAAUAGAGAGGGUCGCAGCUCUUAGCCAGGCUUCUAUUCCAUCGGUUUUACGUGGGUCAGAUUCCUACUAUUCAUUGAUUGAGUCCAAAAGAACGGGGUUGGAUGCGAGAUUGGGUGAUUUAGAAUGGAAGUUCAAUCAAAACAGGAUCCUUAUAGUUCAAUCAAAACGGGAUCCUUAUAUGGGCAAGUUGCUUAAAGGUUUCUAUUGUAUUGGUUUUGUUCUUUGUAUGGGAACUCCUAAUUGUUACUCCGGAAAGGACAGACGAAUCUUAAAGAAUGCGUACACGUGAAAAGGCUUACCUUAAGGCACACGUGAAAAAGGCUUACCCCUGAGGCCCUUCCGUUCUUUCUUUCUCCUCUGGUUUUGAGGUCUAGGUGGGUUGGUUUGGCGUAUGAGUCCGGUUCACUUCUUUUUGCUUGCUGGUGGAGAGCUUUCCCUUGUGAAAUCCAACUCAAACUAUACUCAAAGGAAAUCCAUUGACAAUACUUGAUAGGAUCUAGAAUAGUUGCUUCUCUUUCUAGCAAAGAAGGAUCCAGUCUCGCUAACCGCGUAUCCAAAUAAGCCUUCCUUUUGCAUUGACAGCAGUUAUCUAGUUUUCGCGGGUGCGCAAAAUGUCCUUUUGAGAAUUGAGAAUUGCAGGAAAAAGGGUCAACUAAGAAAAUCCAGAAUGGAUGCGAAAUAGGAAGACCACCAAGUCCAAUCCUAAUAGUUAUUUCUUACUCUCCUACAGCAUAAUAGACUUGCGAAUGGAUCCUAUUUGUUCGAGUGGAAAUCCUCUCCCCAUCCAUACUGAUCAAGGUGGGGAACCAAACCACUUAAAGGAAGUAUGUUCUUAGAUGGUGUUUGCAUGUCAAAGGAAUGGUAGUAGUGGGCUGGAUGUUCGGUAAGCGUGUGAGAUGAGACCCGAUCCUUCCACAAAGGACUCCCGUUUCAACAGUGCAUUUUUCCUUUGAUUCUCCGUCACCCGUUCUUCCCGACCACCGCCCGAUGCAGUCUAAACUCAGGUUAUCUCAAUAGACUUCCCAGCUAUUCUAUUCUAGAUAUCUUAUCUAAGAUGAAAACUGACUGUUUGUUUAUCCGAAAGUAUCUGAUGGUCAGGUCAUAGAAAGACAAAAACGUAUCGCCCACUUAAGAAAAUGAGGUCUGAACGGUAGGCUCCGCUGGAGAAACGACCAUAGCUGCACGGAGUUAGUUGACUGAUUUAGGUAUCAUGAUAGCUUGUUAGCGAUUACACUAUCCCCGGAAUAGCUUUCACUUCAUUGUUAAAGCUAUUGAACAUAGGUGGAGUUCAUACAGAAAAUGCUGUGUACUAUGAAAGAAAAACCACCAAUUCCUUUGAGGCUACUAACACUACCGAAGCAGGCUUGUUGGUUACUGGUUUUGGUAUUGAAAACAUAUAAAGGCUUUCAGCACCUUGCUUCUAGUUUCGCCGGUACCCUCGAGACAGCUUUCCCUAAAAGGACCGGAUUCAAGACAUUCGAUCUCAUACCCACUACAAUAAAUGAAAGUAUACUCGUAGCAAGGAACUCUUUCUUUAUUACUUUAGGUGGAAACUCUCUGAAGUUGGUUCUUUCUUCUCUUUAUUUAUAGUUUCAACUCAUUCCUGGUUGGUUCUUUCUUCUCUUUAUAGUUUCACUCAUUCCUGCCGCUCCGUUUAAGAAGUUUCGGCUCUAUGGCACUUGUUCUCCUUCUAUAGAUCGAGAUGCUUUUGUGGAUUGGAUGCUUUUCUUUUCCGUUGAAUAACAAAACAAAUGGUCGAUGUGGCUUUAUUAUCUUAGGUAGAAAGAAAGGGCUAUCUUUUGCCUAACUGUGAUAGGAGGCUCUGGAAAGACAACAAUACAAGCUGCUUUACUUAUCGGAUAGCUACUGACUUGCGUAUAGAGAAAUGGAACCGUAUUUAACUUAAUCCAAAGGUGGACUCAUACAUACUAUGGCUUUAUGAACUUAAUAAAUGAAUAUGUUACGAUUGAAGAAUACCGUAAUGGGAAGAAUACCUUAAUUGAGAAUAUAAUAGCGGCACCGAGAAACUGUGACUUGAACUGCAAAAAGGAAAAGACCCCAAUCUUCGAGAAAGCGAAACUCAAAUGACAUCCAACCCUAGAAAAAGCCGAGUAACCGCUUACCACCUAUACCUUGAAGCCUGCUACUGAGAAAGUGGCUGUCCUAAGGGUUAAUUAGCUCCUACCGCUCGAACACCAAACUAAGGACUCGGUUAUAGUUGCAGUGCCUACUUUUAGGAAUACAGUGCCCUUAAGUAAUUGAACCCGCCUUGUCAUUAUUCCAUAAUGCCUUCCUUCUUCUUUAGACGUGUGAAAGAAAGCGCCUUUUUGAACUCCGAACCGUGAUACCGAAAAAUCCACUCAUUCGGACAAUGUCCCAAGACAUCUUCGAUCUAUCGAGCUACUAGUCGAUCAACGAUAACAACACUUUCCCACUUGUUUGUUCUGGUGGCAUAUUACAUUGCUUUCUAUUUCCCAGAAAUCUAUUACUUCGUUGUUCGGUGGUCAUUCUUGUCGAGUUUGUCCAGUUGUACGUAAGGAUCUUAUUUGAGCCCAUACUUGUUUCGUUACCCGGAGUCUUGCUUUCACCCUUCGAAGAUUCGAUUUGGCCAUUUCUCAAUUGACCGAGUUGCUGCUACUACUUUUACUAUGACCGUUUGGAUUGUUGCUUUCUUGGUGUUUUACGGAAAUAAUUGUUAUAAUAUAAGGAGUUAUUGAAGUGAGUUAGUUUGGAGAAGAACGGUUUCAUUGUGUUCGUGAAGAUAAGAUAGUAGAGAUCACUAGACCUAGAGCAAGAAUGGGAUGUUACGCCAAUGAGCCGAGCCCUCUAGGAGUAGGACGCCCUUUGCUGGUGCCCGGGUCCCCUAUAGUCUCAGGAGAGAUUAUACAAAGGCCACUAACCCAGGUCCCCUAUAGUCUCAGGAGAGAUGAGAAAAGGCAAACUCGCAAGUCACCUUGUCUCGUAUCCAUCAGAAAACCGGGUUCCCUGUAAGCAAAGAACAAAGGUAGAUGAUAAGUUUACUUGAAAGAACAAAGGUAGAUGAUAAGUUUACUUGAAAAGCCAUAGAGUAAGUAAGGUGACUUUCCAAUUGACUUGAAAAGCCAUAGAGUAAGUAAGGUGACUUUCCAAGAAUAUGUCUCCUUGACUUGCUCAUAACUGUUACUAUUAACUCUGACUAUAUAGUUAGUUGAGCUCCCUUAAACAUAGGACUAUUUCCAGUUUCUCUCUGUGUUUGUUGGUGACAAGAGAGAAAGAUCAUCGGCAAAAGAACGAUCUGAAGCUGUUACUAGUCAAUUCCAUUCUUCACUUUCAGAGGUCAAUUCCAUUCUUCACUUUCCGCUCUUGACGUCGAGUUCGGGGAAGCAUAUUCCUAUUUAGAAGGAACAGGAACAGACAGAAAUAUAAGUCCGCGAGGGUAUAUAUAACAACCUAGUAAUCCAUAAGAGAGGUCCGGUGGGCAAUAGAAGUAGUAGAAUAAGGAGCAGGUAGGCAGAAGAUACGGCAUCAGGUGAGCGAGCUAUAUCCUGAGUGGGUAAAGAAUAAGUAUUUGGAGCCCCCUUUCUUGCAAUUGAGUCCGGGUCGGAAAGCUUCAAGUAAGGGCAGAGGAAAGGCUAGGCUGCCUAGCAGAGUUAUUAAGGUAAGGAGUCAGCAAUAAAAGGAGUCAGCAAUAAGUGAGUAAGUAGUUGAUUGACUAUUCUCUAUUAGUGGUAGAUAACUCUCUUCACAAUCAGCUAGCUAUAUAGAAGGAGUUAUAGGUCAAACAAAUAAUUCAUGGAAUCUUUCUUGCGCUACUCAUGAAUGGAAAUUGGAAACUCCAACUCGUUACACCUAUUCCUCUAAUGUGAAAGACUGAUAUUGUAGGGCGAUGAGAGAGGUUCUGAUUGUGUUGUGGUCGGUGCUUGUCUACGAGAAUUGCCUUAUUGACAGCUUUUGACUGGAAAACGAAGUUAUUGAAUUGAACGGAGUGCACCUAGGAAGAGCGCUACCAUAAAGGAUUCCAGUAUCAAAUCAUUUAAAGAACAGAUGGGGGCCCGUGCGUGUCAUUUGCCCCAUAAGAUUUGUUGACGAGAGUUAGCAAAAGUAGUAUACUAUUUCUUGGCUUUGCCCUUAACCGAGCGCAUUUAUUGAGUUGGGGGGGCUAGUUCCAGUCUUAACCUGGAAUUUCAUCCACUUUCUAGCGCUGAAGCAUAAGAGGGAUUCGAAGAUGGAUCUGAUUCAAAAGAUAGGGAAGCUAUGUCUCCACUUCUUUAUAUGCUAUGAUAGAAGGAAUAGGGUCCAACUUCGUGCUUUUAGAUGAAAGUCAGAGAAAAGUGUCCCGCCCCCCGAGUGCUCUAAACGCCAAAUACUGAAUGGAACUUGCAAAUACAAGAUAAAGGAAUGGAAGAAGAAAUACGAUACGGAACAACAAACUCUUACAGUAGCGCCGAGAAAGCCAUAUCCGGAGUUGGAGAAUAAUAGGGAAAAGAGACUAUUUCCAGAGGAGAAGAUACUAUAUCAGGUGAGUUGGUAAAGAAUAUAUAUAGAGUUGGCGUAGGAACAAGAACUCGAUAAGAAUCAUACUUAGUUGUCAAGAAAUGCAGCAGUAUUAGAAGCUGGUAAAGAGGAGGCAAAAGUGAGCUUAGAAGUAGCGAACAGGAACUAAACUCUACUACUUUGAGCGGGCCGGGCCGGGCAUUGACUUAUCGCUUGCUGCUGAGGAAACUAAUACGGAUUUGCUUUUCUCUCUCCAUAACUACACUUUUCUCGCACAGCUAAAGCUUAUUAUACCGCUGAUGAUACUUAUUCAUAAGAUCUGGAUCCUGCAGAAUCGACAACAACACUUGUUUCUGGUGCCGAGUCUCUUGAAACCGGUGUUUGAGGGUUUGUCUUGUUAGUUCAGAAUCAUAAAUACGAGUAGGGGUUUCAUCCCGUAGUUAAUCCGUAUAAUAUCUGUGCUUGUUGGCUCAAGUGCCCUGCAAUACGAGUAUAAUCUCUGUGCUUGUUGGCUCAAGUGCCCUGCAAUACGAGGUAAGGUCGGCAGUAGUAAAAGAAUGGUUUGCUCGAUGAACAAAAAGGGCGGCUCCCGGGUUGGUUUUUCCCAUCAACUAAAGAGCAAGGCUAUCAGGCCUAUUACGAAAAUGUCUUUCUCAAGAGCAAGAGCUAACACAACUCUUUUCUUUUUUUGUACUUCCCACGGUAAAGCGAAACGAUUACCCGAGACACUACACUAGCUCUUAAAAUGUUUUAGUCGUUUAUGAUCGAAGCGGAUUCUCUCUUCUGGAACCAUACAAUCUGGCUUGACUUGGAUAGCGUCAUGAACCGAGCAAAGGAUAUAGCAAAGGAAACACUUGCAUCUGGCUGAGGACUAAAUAUAGGAGCUCGCCUUGCAUACAAGGGGAAAAGAUGGAAUCUGGUAAAAAGAAAGUUCCGUGCCUAUAGUCAUUCCUUUAUCCAGUUCCGUGCCUAUAGUCAUUCCUUUCUAUGGUAGCAAUCUGGUCUCCAGUCGGUGGAGGAAGUAAGGCUUAGCAGUCCUAUCAGUGCCCUUAUGCACAGAAACAGUUGGAGUCAAGGCAGUCUGUGGUUUCUAAGGCCUAUAGGCCGGUCCUGUCAUUUCGUAUAGAUUUAUAGAAAGGGAGCGCCUUUAAGGCUUUCAGCACCUUCUCUCCUCCCCAACGCCGCUAUCUGUCAUCAAUUCCUUCUCUCCUCCCCAACGCCACUAUCUGUCCAAGGGGAAAAGCAAACUCAAGGGUACCAACGCAAGCUUCCGUUUUCAAGUUAGUUAUGAAUCCGAUGUGAGAUGCCUCGCCUAGCUUGAUUAAUAGCCGCCCGGGCCCAUGUUCUCAGUGCAAUGCAACGUGUGAAAUGACUUAGUCAAGAGAUCGUAGGAUACCGGCAAAGGCAGAAGGUGGAUACUCGUUGUUUUGAUUUCGCAGGUGGAUACUCGUUGUUUUGAUUUCGCAAUUCUAUUAUAUCAUAAGGGGUUGAAACACGAAAAUGAAGGUGCGAAGUUUCGAACAUGGUUGUUAUAAAGUUCCCUAUCUCUGCUAUUAUAGAAUAAGAAAGGAAAGAUAAAGAUAAUAAGAAAGGAAAGAGAAAGGCAGCACAUAUGAAUCUGACUCAAGUGGUCAUCGAGAAGAAGUCGAUUCGCUGAAGCAUAAACAGAGAAGGUAGUUUAGUUAACCCGGGCCAGGCCAGCCCUUAGCAUCUAAAGAAUGCGCUCUUCUCAAGCUUUUCAAAAAGGGGUGUGUGUUGGUUUGGGCAAUGGAAGGCACGAAUCAAACUAUCUAUCUUUAGCAUACGGGAAUCGAGCAGACAUGAUCAAUAAUGAUUCAGAGGACAAGGGCAGCUUGUUCUACCUUCGGGAUAAACGCUCUUUUCAUGGGUUUUUUCUUUGACAGUCUUACUGGAUUUUUAGUUGAUGGGGCAAGGCUUAGCAAAUAAAUAAGCUUGUGUCGGAAGAGAAGUAAGUAGAAAACAAAGCUGUUCGCGGAACCUGAUUGCCCUAAGUCGGAGUCAGAAUAAGGUUUAGGCUGGAAGACAAGCAACAGAUAUCUCGGAUGUUGCCAUUGCCAGGAGCAUGGAUGCCAAGAAUGCCCUCAGUCUAUGUCUUUCUAUAUAGGCUUUAAGGAAGCAAGUAAGCAUUAAAGAGGGGCUUUGUUGGACCUUCCGACCGACUGAAGGAUCUUUUCCGUCUUUCGAGAUGCGAAUAGAUUGACUAUUGGGAUAACGAAGAUAUGACCAUAUUAAAGAUCUCAUUUAUUCAUUUCAUAGAGAAAAGGAUUAGCUGCUUUCUGAAAAUGAUAGAGAGAGAACAGCGCUACCGCCAUGAAUACUUGACUCGCUCAUAACAGAAUUAGAACAUAUUAUUUGGAGUCUUGCAUUUGUAGGAGUUGCUUGGCCCUUUGUAGUAGUUGCUUGGUGGCUUUCAGCACCUUUAUUUUCAUGGAGCUCUUUAGAUAGGUAGAGGAAAGACGUAACUAGACGACCGCGCAGAAAGAGACGUAACUAGACGACCGCGCAGAAAGAAGAAUCUCUUUUAUAGCUUCCGAUUGCUAUGGAGAUUCCUAUGGUUUCUCUAGUUUCUCAGACUAUUAUGGAUAUUCCCCCAGAUGCGAGUUACAGCCUUGUAACCAAGGGUCCCUUACUUCACUUCAUGGAUCUUUAAGAAGUUCAAGAAGAAAGCUACGGGCAUAUACCCCAGCCGCGGGGGAACAAGUGCCACCUAAACAGCUAGAUUAUCUAUCUAUAAGCCUCGCAAACCCUUCCUUUGUAAAGGACCUUUCCCGCUUUCCUUACUUUCCUUCCUUGGCUAGUUCAAAAAACGCUUUUUCCAUUGUUCUGAUAAUAAGAUUAAUCAGAAUUGUCGCUUGGAAUAAUAGGCUUUGAAACAGAAAGGAGGUAGAGAAGCUCUGAGAUGGAAAGGAGGGAAGCUCUAAGUUAGGUAGUUAGGAGCGAAGGUAGUACGAGGCAGAGCCAAGACUCAUCUCAUGUGGAAUCAUCAAUACUUAAAGGAUAGAGUCAAACUCUUGGCAGGUCGGGGGGCAAGCUUGACUUUCACUUCGGGAAUAAUCAAUCUAGCUUUUUGAAUGGGGCGAGCGGUUCUCGGGCGAAUUCCUUCUAUUGGUCUUAUACUAUGGGUGGAUACAGACUCAGAGUGAGGACCCGUGCCAGCAACUCCUGUAAGCGCAAAUCAUUUAGGAGAAGUCAAAGCAUAACCCUGACAAGACAAGUGGUUAGGGCUUUCUUCAACUUACAGAGCGGAUCUAUACUCUUUACCUCGAAACUAGGAAUUUCACUUACUGAAACCAAAAGUGUUUUUUUCUCAAUGGAUAAUAUGGAUCUCGCACCAGCAAUAGAAUAAUUGAAGUACCCCGCUGCGCUGCCCCCUACUGAGGAUACAGCUACAUCACUUGGCUGCGCUGCCCCCUACUGAGGAUACAGCUACAUCACUUGCAACUUCAAUAAGUCCAGUGGAGAAUGUGCUUUCUUGUCUUCUCUCUUAGGGCGCAAUUCCAGAAGGAUAGACAGACCGACCGACCAUCUUCAAACCGACCAUCUUCAAUUUGAUCUAGAAUAAUAAAGAUCUGCAUAAUCAGGAUCAGAAAAAGAGGUCUUAUAGCUUCGAAAGAACACCGACUGCUGUAUAAACAAGGGAAUAAUACGCAAGGAGAGAAAGAUGUAAUGUUGCAAUGCGAGUUGACUCUAAACCAGAAAAAAGGGGAGUUCUGGGCUUGACGUCUACAGGUUAGAGUGUCGGUGCGAGUUGAGUACUUAAUUGAGGCGCUAAUGGAGUUUCCGCUUGAUCACAUUCCUUUUCUUUAUAGGCGAUAGGCGUGUGAGGGUGAUUCAAUUCGUAUGUUCGCUGUCGCGGCAGGAGCUACUGUUACGUGUUCUUUAAAUUCCAGUUUUCGUUCCUUUGUUCGUCCUCCCGUUCUCUCAUAUUAUUUAGUAGGUCCCUUGGUCAACAAUGCUAGACAAGCAGCAUAUAGGUUAUUUAUUCAUUGCAGCAUAUAGGUUAUUUUAUUCAUUGUUCAUUAUGAAACAAACUUUCUUGUUAAUUAUGGGGCGGUCUUUUACCUUACCAGAUUCAUUUGAGCGCCCAUAGCUAUUCAAUUUGGCCUCUUUCCUUUAUUCAGAUCUCUCCCUCCUAAUGUAACUAUCAAGAAUUUGUGUGGAUAGCUCGCAUAAAGAAAAAGGGGAAGGACACUGCUCUUACAGAAAAAGGGGAAGGACACUGCUCAUAAAGAAAGGGAAGGUACUGGCACUCAUAAAGAAAGGGAAGGUACUGGCACAGCUCUUAAAUAACUAACCGCUUUUAUAUAACUUACAGCUCUUAUCUCACUUAAAGCUCUUACAUAACUUACAGCUCUUCCAAAUUCUUCUUUGUGUAAAGGGUCAUAAAAAGAGUCUAGCCCACCCACCCCAGCAGUCAAGUACUAGUGCUAUCAAUUCCUACAGCUCAGGGUCAAUUGUGUAUCGAACCUGCAUACAGAUGUUUAUCAUAACAGCGUUAAGGAAAGAUGCGGGCUUAUUCUCUAUUCUAUGCUCUCCUCUCUUUUUCCAAUAAAGAAGGAGGGGACCCCUUUUCAAAGCCAUUUCUCAUGAAUGGUGGGUAUGAUUCUAUAACCGGUUUUUCCUUUCAUUCAAGGCUCGACAACGAUUGGAAUAGUGUUUCUUCUUUAUUGAUCUGUCUGAUGGAGACCAUUUAGAAUCCUAUUAGUAAACAGGAGCAUAUCCAACCUUUUGAAGCGGCGGGUCCUUCUUGAUUUGAUUUAUACUUGUGUUAUUUAUACUUGAUUGGAUUGAUAUUUGCUAGCUCUUGAGCUUUCCUAACCCCAUCUAUCUUUCUUCUUCUCUGGAUAAGGUUUAGUGUAAGGCCCCUUUUGACAUUCAAGAUAUACUGACGCAAACCUCUCGGGAUUUUAUGCAUAUCCUGAUUACCCUCCCACAACCGAAAAGGUAGAAAACCAUGUCUACUUUGCCUUUAUAGCAAUUCCUUUCUAGCUAUGCCUUUCUGGGGUUAUUGUCCAAGCGACUCUAUAUUUGAUAUGUUUUGGCCGCUCCAAGAUCAAAGGAAUUAGCAUGUUCUGGACUGCUUACUUCCAGAGAUUACACGAGUGUGUUCUCGCUUCUUCGAUAGCGCCCCCAUUCGAAGUAUUUCCACGAUCUUUUGUAGUCUUCAAUCCUUAUUUGUUGGUGUUUAGGAAGGGUUAAUGGCUUAUUAAUCUAUGAAGUCUAUAGGGUUAAUGGCUUAUUAAUCUAUGAAGUCUAUAUUCUCCCGAUCAUAGGUGAUAGAGACCCAUAAGAUAGGCAAAUGAUAGAAACCUAUAAGAUAUAAGGAAGAAAGAACGUAAAAGAUAUGACUUUAGAAAGCUCUGGAGGCAGAUUCUAUUGGCCUUUCAUUAAGCCUCCUUUAAUUAAGCGCUUUCCUACUCUUAUUUGUAUUUGAUAUUAGGCCACUUCCUGCAUAUUGAUUAUUCUAGGAUGAACGAACUCCUUACAUUCGAGUAUUUACCUCCUAUUGCAAUUGCUCUUGAAAACCUCUGCCUUGAGUCCUCGAAUACCUGCACCUAUUAUCAUGUACCGGUCGUUAAACCACACUGUAGAUAAUGCUUUUGCCAUAAAGAAAUCUCUAUUAAUAUUAGCAUCACUCGAAACUCACUAACGGAAGAAACAAGCAAACAACGAACUCCUAUCCGACACAAGAGCACAUGAUAGGCAAUAGGGACCGGGCACCCACACCUAUUAUACCUCCUCAGGCGAGGCACCCACAGUCGACCCCGUAACUACAAACAUGAUAAACAAUAGGCACCCCUGCCCCAGUUUGGAGCACAUUUGUAGCACACUGGCUUUGGCAUGAAAGUGUAUGUAUUCGUUGUGAUGCGGCUCCUCGACACUAUGCAAGCUACGGCAACUUUCAAGCUUUGUUUGCUCAGAGAAUUAAUACCUGAGUGACUUGGCCGUUGUUUCACCUCUUUUAAACGGAGCCCGCAAUGUAGCAGUAAAGAAUUGGAACUCUAUGACAACACUCGCACCCUCAGAUAUGAGUAAUCAGUACCAAGCAACACCCUAUACUUUCGAUCCCUUGUUUCGUUCCCUUGUUUGUUCUCCUUACUUUUAGAGUUGAUAUCCGCACAGCUGCGUUAAUUUGCUUGUUUGCUUGCUUCCCUUGCCUGUUAAGCUACCCACCCGGGGUAAGAGAGUAGUUGAUGCUUUUGUUGAAUAAAGAGAAUCUUGAUAGACUAAUAUAGAAUAGAGUACUUGCAUUAUAGACUAAUAUAGAAUAGAGUAAAGGCAUUGAAGCGUGGUGUGGGUUUACUUUCAAUGGGGAGAGGUUCUAUGAUAGGCUUUCCCUUGACUUUAUGAGUAGUGGUCCAAAGAAUGGCGCUCGCCUUAGGAGUUGAGUUAGAAGCAUUAUAUAGCUCGGCAAGAAAGAUUGAAUGAUUUGUUGAGUUCUGGUUUUCGGCUAACGUGCGUGUGGGUUAUUUGGAGUUUCAAACAAGGAAGGUCUAUAUGAACUCAAUUAAGUACUUAGCGCACCCAUAAUCUACCUCAAUCCUCUGAAAGUCAACUACUGAAGUCUUGUAUAAAGGUUCAAGCUAAAAGUCCGGGUAUCCUGAAUCAGCUGUUUCUGUUUUCACAUCAGAAUACGUUUUUUAAAGAAGCAACGUUAAGGGUAGGAAUAUUCAGGUAAUUAGAUAAGGGAAGGUAUCAUAUAAAUAUGGAUCUAAAGAAUAAGCAAGAUCGUCGGCAUAAGCAAGAUCAGAGGAUCAUCAGAAAGAGCAGAAGCUGAAUCAAAAGAGAAAUCAUAAGCCAAAGAAUCCGCUGUGGUGUCAAAGCGGUCAGCUGCCAGUGAAUAAGUCAAAGCCAGUGGUAAGCGGGACCAGACGGAAAGUUGUUGAAUUCGUCUUUGUUAUCCACGAGAGAGGCAAUCAACCAACAUAGAGUUUUCAAGAGAACGAGCAAGCAAGGCCAAAUAGUAAUAAAACAACCCCUUUUUGCGUCGUUUAACCAUAUGCCGCCGUUCAACGGAGCUCAUAUGAUAUGGCUAAUCUCACUUAUGGAAAAACUCCCCACUACGCUCCUAACGCGCACUACACUACGUUGCUUGUUCUGUCCUUUUCAUGCAUUUUUCCAUAGAGAUUAAUUAAGAUAGACCUCUUCCUAGAUAUUAAGAUGGACCUCCAUCUUCCUAGGUGCCAAUCAAUUGAAUUCUACUAUGGGGGUGCUAACGCGAGUUGUUGUUGCAGGAUGUUUUGUUACUAUCUUCGAGUUGUUGUUGCAGGAUGUUUUGUUACUCUCUUAUAAAAUAUGUCAGUUAUUAGCUUUUCUUCAGUUGAGCAUGAUAGGUGCACUCAAUUCCAUGAUUUUCUUCAGUGUUGUGAGUUUGUAGAGUAAUGGAGUCUUAAGUUAGGUUAAUCCCUUACAUGAGUUGUGCACUCACAUUCAAGAAGCCCUGAAACAUACAAAUGUAAGCUAAGGUUCCCCGAUAAGUCAUUUCUGUUUUAAAGCAAAGUGAUUAUAUUCAUUUAUUAUAGAGAUUAUCUUAUAUUCAUUUAUUAUAGAGAUUAUGAGUUAGAUUCUUGGAAAUGGAAUUCCACAAAACAAGUCAGAAGUGAGUUUCCGGGGAACAAGUAAGAACAAGAGAAGAACUGACAUCGGCCCACCCGAAGAAGAGUUAGGUAGUGAGUAAGCUGUUAGGUACCACAAACAAGGCAACAUAGAAUAGAGGAAGUAGUGAGUAAGCAGAACAAGCAACAAAGUCAGGGCAGUGAACUAGAAGCGCGAGGCCAGAAAAGAGUACGACACAGUAACGAGUUAGUCAGGAUGCCAAUAAAUCCGAUUUGCUUAAAGCAACGGAAAAAGAAGUAAGCUGUUUUGUGAAAACUCAGAAUUCAGUAAGCAGUGUUGUUACAACUAUGACAUUAUAGGGGGAGAAUAAGCAACGGAGCAAGCAGUAAGUAAUGUUCAAGCUUAGAGCCAGCAGUACAGUAAUAGGUGAGCUUUUUAGUUUCGUUAGUUUCUCAGAGGAACCAAACUACUAAUAAUGCACAAGUAGGGAUAGCAGUGCCUCUCUCUGCCUAUGUCCUUUACAGUGCCUCUUACCUAUGUCCUUUACUUUGUAUGGGGUUCGGCUGCCUCAAGUAGAUUCAAUUAGGCUUCAAUUCCCCGGGGCUCCUUAGCUUUGAACUCGCUGACGCUAGAACUCAGGCUCCCGAAAGCUGGAAUUGUCAUAACUCUGCGCUACUAACUACUAAGCUUGGCGGUUAUAACAAGAGGAACUCUAGCAGCCCUGCCGCUACACUGACUACGUUACUUGGCGGACUUGGUCAUAACUCUAGGAUACAGGACUUUCUAAUUCUCCGGAUCUGAAAUCCACUGCUGGCUCAACAAAACUUCAUUGAAUCUUGUUUGCGCAGAGAGAAUAGGGGAGGAAUAAUACCCGAAUCUAUACCUUAUCCCUUUUCUAUACCCUUAGAGUCACAUACUUUCCCUUAGAGUCACUGACUUUUGUACCGAUCCUGCUCUAGCUGAUCCAGAUGUAUCUUCUGCUAUUGUUUAGUUGACUUUACGGGGUGCACGAAAAGGGACAAGCAUAUACUACUGAAGAAUGGAAAACAAACAUAUUAAUUGAUGGGGUCUUACCAUCCGAGGAUAGAAGAAGAUUACCCAUUCCCAGUGUUUUACCCAGUCCGUCCCAGUUAAAGUUCUCAUGGAAAGCAAGAGAAAGAUGAGGAAGAAAGAGCAGUUCAUCGAUUAUUCUUAGACAGCUAAUCAACUGGCUUUCCCUACUUCCGCUUCCACCUCCGACGCUGGCAACCUUACUUGAAAGUAGGAUCUAUUUGAAUCCAGCGCUUAAUAAACCUCUGUUCCCCGAGACUGCCUGGCUUUCUCCGACCUCUAUUCCCCCUGGCUUCACCGAGACAGCCUUAUGGUUAUGGAUGGAACCGGCCUUGCUAGCAAUAAAAAGGCUUUCAGCACCCGAACACAUAGUCAGUAGGCAAACAACCAACUACUAGACCUCUUGCUCUUUGAACUCAGGCUCAUCUAACUCUGGCUACAAUUCAUUGAACCCUGAAAGUUGUAGUUACUCGUCUGCUUGUCCCUUCGUCGGAGUUCCCUGUUAAGUAGGUGAGUCCUGUAAGUGGGAGCUCAACUCCUAUAAGUAGUGCUUUUCUCCAGUUAAUGCCUAGCUCCAUUAUGGAUUCUUGUAUCAUUACUUGUUAUCACUAGUUCGAUUCGAUUCCGGUAGACGCUAUAUCUAGGCUAUGCCCCCAUGGAUAAAGAAUCAAAGCAAGGGUCGUUGGAGGUUUGCUGUUCUAUUCUUAUAGUUUGUAAUUGAAGAAUACACAUAUAGUAGAGCAGGAUCCGAAUCAGUGUUUAAAGAAAGCAACGACUACAAGUUAACAGUAUAAGAAUCAUAGGUGUAAAUAAGGAAUUUCGUUAUGACCUGUUUUUUCAUUAUCAACAGGAGUUUUCGAGUGAAAGAAGGAAGUGUCGAACUGAGAUAAAGGAUAGUACAAGUGAAAGCAAGGAGCGUAGGGCUGCCCUAUUGGGGGAAGUGAACAAGGCUAAAAGGCACAAGAUCGGAAGGCUCAAACUAAUACUAGUAAGAGGGCCUAAGACCGAAAGAGGGGAUUGUUAGAGUUGGAUUACCAGUUGAGAGUUUGAUCAACCCCCGCCGCUGAGGCAUUCUUAUACUUGCUUGCUCCAUUCCUGUUAGUAGUGUUUGGAUCCUUACUUUGAUGUUUGGCUCCUUGUUUUGUUUUUGUACUUGCUAGCUGUAUUCCGAAGCUUUCAAUACACGCCCACCCGAACUAAAAGAAAGACCGAUAAGAAGACUGGCAAUAGGACCAGUAAAUAAAGAAGAGUUGUUCCAGGUAUAAGGAUGCGCCUAAGGAAUACAAGAUACUGGUCUCGAGCUACAAGACAAUUUAUAUCAGGCGACGAGACCGCUUUGAACGAUACAAAGAAUAGAAUCCGGGCUUAACAGGACAGGACUGAAAUAAGAAAAAGGGAAUUGAGCUCUAGAGUCAGAAAUGAGCUACUUAUUUGGAUUAUUUAGAUACCGAUUCGGAUCCUGCUAGGUUUAGUCUUUCUCUCCUUCCCUUAAGUCUGCUAGGUUUAGUCUUUCUCUCCUUCCCUUAAGUCUGCUUUUCGCCCGGCUUCUCCUUUAUAUAAUUAUGACUUUACUUACUAUAGGGCUUAGACUCCCUACUUCUGUUAUGUAUUUCACCUUUGGAUUCUUAUACUGUUAACUCGAAAACUGACAACCUUCUACUCAUGCGUUACUCCUGUCAGUUAGUAACAAAGAACUCACUAGCUAUAAGUAAGUCUGUUACUACUAUCUUAGAGUCUUCCAUUACUUUAUCUAAUCCUUCAAUUGCUUAGGUUAUUUCUGUAUGACACCUUUCAGUAUGAAACUAAUGCCCUCAAUACCGAGUGAGAGGUAGCCCUACCUUAGCCAUAGAGUCUGUCUUUAAGCUAUUCUUCUUACGAAAAUGGUUUUCGCUCUUGUAGUUGUCCCUGCAAUGCCUAUAGCUGUCCCUGCAAUGCCUAUGUUGUUCCAGUUAGAAGCUACCCGUAUGAGAAGUAUAAGCACGGGUUCCAUUAUUGAUAGCUGCGGUUCGAGCCUUGUUAUCAUUAUAGGAGGAAUAAUAGGAAGCAAAGGGCCAAAAAAAGAAAGGUGCUGAAAGCCUAAAGUAUUAUAAGGCACCCAAACUGUUCUUUUAUAAUAGCUGGUAGCUGGAUGCGCUGGACACCACACCACUGGAGUUGUAGAAUGAAAGCAAGGUGAGGCAGGCCGGUAUAGGAGCAGACUCCACAGGGCAUUGAGGUAAGUUUGGUAAGGUCAGUUUUCAGAGUGAAAAGGGAAAGUAGGAGGCUAGAUGAUACUCCUCCAGGGAAUAAGAAGAUCAGUCUGGUUACUAUACUAAGAUCCGGGAGUAGGAGACCAAAGGCUAAUAGGUUAUUGAGUAAUGGAGUUUGAGUUUCAUCUGAUAGUGAGACAAUUGAAUUAGAAUCAAAGAGUUGUUGUAGUAGCUGUCUCUCAGGGUAGUAGUCGCUGUCUAUCCAGGUAGUAGUGAAGUCAUAGUUCCGAGCUCAAUUCUGCAAUGGUUCCCACACCUCUAAGGUAUUUCCUCUUUGUUGAAAUUAUUAUAGGUAUGAGUUGGAUUCCCAAAACACAUAAGAAGUUAUAUAUCCUUAGAACUACCCCCCUUCUUUCGCUUACCCUUAUAUGGCAAAAGUCAGGAUUGAAUUCCAUCCACUUAUUCCUUGAGCAAGUAAACUCGAACAGGCAAUUAUGCGUCAUCAGAUCCAGCAUCUUCUGAUGUAUACUUUUCUCUUGCUCCAUAUUAUCCUUAUUUCUUCGUCUGCGCUAAAUGGAAGGAGCUCCUCAAUUCCUAUAUUAGAUGAAAAGGAUAGAGAUGAUUUUCUUUGAACAACAGAGCCAUCAAAGGAACCAGCAAGCAAAGCGGGAACAAGAGAAGUUGAGUAAGCUGUAUCCGGAAUGGGAGUAGUUAAAGAAUAUAGAGUUGGUCGCAGGAAAAGAAUCCGGAUUAGAAGCUGUCCUAAAGGAAGCUGAAACCAAUGUAUAUAAUUCUGUAACAGGGAGAAUCAGAGGCUAAAGAAGCAGAAGACUCAUAAGCUGUGCUAGGAAAGUGUGUUUCUGUUCGAAAGGGAAGUGAGGGUGUUGAAGUUAAGCUUCCGUUUCAGUGUAAUAAUGAUUUGUUGACUUCAGAUCAACUGGCGCCUAGUAGGGGAAUUCGAAAAGUGUAGUUCCAGUUUCCAGAUCAGUAUCAGGAUCAGCCGAAAUGAAAGUACUCGUUUUGGGUUCUGCAAGCGGUGAUGUUGGCGAGACCUGAGAGAAAGAAAGAAUCUCUUGGGGUGCGAAAGCAGUCUACGAGUUCUGUUGCUGCCCGCUCGCUAACGGGAGUUUUUAAGUCAGAAUUCAUGAAUGGGAGUUUCUUCAAGUAGAGUUCCAGAAGCCAAGGUGUGCUAAUGUUGAGACAGUUGAGUGCACAAGCUAGUCUAUACGAUAAGAAAUGCAAGCUUAAUCAAGUCUAUACGAUAAGAAAUGCAAGCUUCAUAUUAGUACUUUGAAGCGGGGCCAAGCAACUGGGCAAGGCCCUUCCCUUAACUACUCCAGAAAGAGAUCUACCGCGGGAAAGGAAGCAGCAUUAGAGUCGGCAUCAGAGCCAGUAGGGAAAGGCAUAAGAUGGAUGGGUAAGAGAGACGGGCAUGAUGAUUACCCCUAUGGAUGACUAGCUUUUCCUUCUCGACGGGUGCUUACUCCAUUAUAUGGGACGACUACCACCGAAGGAGGCCUUGCCUACAAUGAGACGAGACGACUACUUGUAACAUGCUUCAGGGUUACGUAAAAAUCAGUCAUUCCUGUUUGAUUCUUUCCUCUCCCUUUCCUCUCCUCUUGAGCUCACUCCUACAGCACCUAGUAACAGACUGAGGGGGCCAAGCAAUAGUCUAGGCGCCAUCCCUUGUGUCAUCAGUUUUCCUAUAUGAGGAGAGUGCAAAUGAUACUAUGUUUUUUGCUACUGUGUGUCUACUGAAUAGAUAGGCAGGAAAGAUGAGUUGUUUUUCAGUGAGCUAUAGUGAUUAUGCCAAUAUGAAGUCAACUCUCUUCUUAUUGUCUAACUUACAAUAAGGGCCUCUCCACUUCCACUAAUCAGAAUUCCACUAAAGCAGAAUCAUUACCUGUUCAGCAAAGACACUACUAAUCCAGUUCCGGGUCCAGUGAGAGUUUCAUCCCCAGUGUCAUUCUUUAAUGCCUUAUUCCUAGUUGUUAGUUCAGGUCUAUAGUACACUGUUUCUUUCUGUUAUUAGUAGCUAUAGUAUUAGUAUUGGAUUUACUGGUUCAAUUAAGAAGCACCUAUCUCAUAUGAAGUGGACCUAGCCUUAAAGACAGUACCCGCUCACGCUUAUUCUUACUUCCUUGACUUUGAGUGUAAUAAGUACUCCCCUUUGUUUCUCCUACUAGGUUUCGAGGAAGGCAGGAUAGAUAAGCUAGGAUUAGAUGUGUCAUUUAGUCGAAGAGGGUAAGAUAUUGCCUUUAUGCCUGCGCUUUCAGCAAUACAGGUGCUUCCUUGCCUCCCUUUCCGUUUCCUAAGGACUGCCAGCUUUCUUGUUUGUGAUUUCCUUUUCUUAAGUAGUAGACUGAGUCAGAGGAGGAAGUCGUUGGGUGGAGAGGUCCGGUCUCUAGCGUCCUAUCUUAUGUCCGAAUUCUUUCUCUCUGUUAAUUGUCCUCUCGUCCAGUUGCUCAAGAUAGAUAAGCAAGGAGAACUUUGAUUCAGGUAACUCUAUGUUGCUCCGGUUAGUUCUGUUCUGUAAUCAACUACCUGGGUAAAGUAGCUCCUGUCGGUUUAGAGCAAGCAAAGAAAGCUCAGAAUAGAUUAGAUCGAUCAAGACUAGUAGUUAGUUGUUCCUACUUACCUGACUUGCUAGUAGGAAGCGAUGCUAUGGAACCAACCUAAUCCACUCUCGUGACCAUGAUCGAAGAUCAAUCCGGGGAAAGAGAUGAGCUUAUAUAUGAAAAGCUACCCGUAUUUACACAUACGAGGAAUCACUCACUAACGGACAAGAGAGCGACAAAUGAGCUUUCAAAAGUGCAAAACGAAAGGGUUGGUAGCUUUCGGCCUUAUUGAUCCAAUCACUCUUUGAGACUACUGCUUGUGCUUGGCUCAGCAUAGCCUUCUUUUUGAAAAGCUGACUGCUCAAGUAAAGUGAGGAAAGCGAAAAGCUGACUGCUCAAGUAAAGUGAGGAAAGCCUGAUCUGAUUUGGAAUCCUUUUUCAACGCCUUCUUUCCUGAUCGAUUCUUAGGGGAAUCGUAGGCCAAAAAUGGAUUCGUCAACGGAGGAUGCCUUUCAAGGAAAAAGUAACGACACCGCAUUCCCACACUUUCUCAUCUGUUUCAUAGAGGAGUGAGGCUGGCUAAAGCACCAAAACCAAUAGUUAGUAAGAGAGCGCCAUCAGGAUAAAGAUCAAAAGGGGGGGCUCUAGAAAAGAUGCCUUGAAGAGUGAAAAUACCGUAAGCGCCCAACUUCCACACAUCGAAAUAGACAGGUGAUCCUGCACGCCUAACCUAACUUUCAUGCACGGAAUCAACUGUGAUCGAAUAAGCUUUUUUAGGUAAUGAAGCCAGGUACUGAUUUGGGAAGUAACUGAACUUACUUAAUCUCCCUUAGGGAUUCGAGGAGCAGAAGGCUUACUAAGGAAAGCUAAUGACAUUGUUAAAGAGUAGGCAGAGAAUGUGCUGUUGUCGCAUGAAUAGGAAUAGGUUGUUCAAGAAUAAUUGUAAGACUCGCAAUUGAAUCAACUUCUCUUUCAUUCCUAAACGCUGCAAAAGAAAGACGUAACCGGUGUUCCACUUAUAAGGUUAACUGCUCUCGGAGUCCUAGCCGCUCUUGGCACUGAUUCCUUUCAAGUUAUGCCCUUAUGCCCGAUCCAAAUAUGCAGGGAGGUUUUCCUCGAAGAGAAGCUCUAAUAGUAGUAUGCGGACUCAUACUCAUCCCAGUGAGAGUGCAGGAAUAUAAUAAGAUGCUCUUUCAUCUCUUUGCAAUAGAUUGUGUUCAAAUAGCCUGGGCUCAGCUCCUGCCGUGCAACGACUGACGCACAAUAGAAAUCAAUUAUGUUGUUUUGAUUAUUUAUGUUGUGCUUUAGUGUCUUCUUGUCGUCUUGUCUGCUUGCCCCCGUCUUUGCAAUAGAAUGACUAACUGCUCUUGCUGCUAUUUCAUCAUCUGUGGCACUGACUUUAGGAAUCCCAGGGGCGGUGCCUAGCCUUUGCACAUGAAGGCCUUCUUCUCUAGCCUGAUGCGGGCGAUUCGAGUCAUCGAGAUAAUAGAAGUGAAUACCAUACAAUUGACUUGACUUGAAAUAUACUAUAUUGUGUUUUUAUAUACAAAUAGGUUUCUUUAACAGGAAGUGAGAGUGAGUGUCACGCGGAGUUACGCUUUGGUUAGGCUUGACUUGAUGAUGGGUUACAUAUAGAAGGGCUUAGUUAGCUAUGGAAUCAGAAGCAACUCCGGGCAGAUGGGAUGCCCCAAAAUAAGGCUUAUGCAACUCGAGCCCAGGCUUACUUGGCUUACUUGGCGCUCCAGAGACCAAAUCCUUUGUUUACCACUAGAAUUAGUAAGUUCAUUCUUUGACCGCAAUCCGAUCCUAUAGACUCAAUGAUUUUCAGGACUUGGUCAAACAACUAAGCUUGGUCUUACUACGUAGCUUGGCUCCUCAUCCUAUCUUCUCUAUCUAGCUCCCCUGAUCAUUCGUAUAAGUCUGGAGUAAAGAUGAUUCUUCUCUCUCUUUAAUAACCUAAUAAUAGAAUGGAUUAUUCCCUCCUUGGCUCUCAUUGAUUGUUUUUGCAAUACCCGACCCGACCGAAACAAAUACUUCUUUUAUAUCUCUAGCUCAUAUACUUAUCCGUAGUCAACUAAAUCCAUUCCCACUUUCACUACUUAGUUCAAUAGAAUUCAACUCACUCACCAAAACUUGAUAGCAAAGAUCUUAUUGCCCCAAUUCCCCUUAGUACUGAGUCUAGCUCCUGUACUUCUGGCUACAACUACUUAUGAAACUACGAAACUACGAGUUUGGGCUGUAACCCAGGGCUACUACUACUGUACUGGCACCCGAAACUAUACUUGAAACUAUACUUUCUACUGGCUCUUCUCUAACUGCUGACCUUGCAGACCUCGACUCAAGUCCUUUCUUUGUAGUUGUCGACUUCACUACUUCCCGCCUCAAAGCCUUAUACUUACUAGUGAGAUUCUCAAAUUCCAUUACUAGAUGCGCUUACUGCCGCUACGCAUUAGUGGUUACUUGUCUGGGCAUAACCAGUGUAUUUACUCGGUUCUCUACCAAAAGUGGAAACAGAUUCUUCACCGGAACCUCUCUCGUCGACAACACAAUCAUAAACUUCAACUCAAGCUAGAGGAUACCAGGGCAAAGGGCUGUAAACCCAGAUUGUAUGAAUUGCCUUCCCCUCUUUGCCUUUAGAACGGGAACUGGUGAUUCGAUUCUCUUUCUUACUUAACAGCUUCCCUGGCCUACCUCUGCUCUGUCAACAAUACCUUCAUUCUGACUUUCACUUAUGGGCAUGCGAAACAAUAAAGUUCGAAUUUAGCUCCUUCUCGCCAACCCCAGUGCAACUCAUAAGUAAGAAGGAUACAACUACUAAUAAGAGUAAGAAGGAAACAAGCAUGACUUGAAACCCACAUAUUGUGCAGAAGACUUAGAAUUCCACUCAGUAGUAUAAGAAUGAAACCGAUACUAAUAAGAAGAAGACCGGUCCCUUUGUUUUAGUGACUGGACUCAGAGCCAAGCAACGACAUAAGACGUUGUGCGGCAGCCAUAGCCAUGAAAUAGUGAAGUUAUAUUUAGUUAGAACCGCCAAGACACUGGGCAAGUAACUACGUCAGUUACGCGGGCAGCUAUGAAUACUAUUGAUAUAGGAUUUGGAGGAUGAAACUCUACUGUCAUUGCAGCCCUUAACCGCACUGCUUCUUUCUGCUCGAGUCGACAACUAAGGUAAACAAUGACCUAUCCCCCUAUACAAGGAGCUAGAGCCAAGACUAUAAGUCCUUUCUCCACGACCGACGUAAACAACAGAGGAAACUACUGCUCUGAAAACGAAAACAGCUGACUAGGAAUAUGGCCCCGUAUCUAUACCCAGGCUAACGUAAGCUUACUUUUCUUCAGAUCAAGACUUGGAGCCAAGAACUGAUCUCACUGCUUAUGAUCCUGAUCUUUCAACUUGAACUACACUUCCUGUUAGCAUAGCACACUCUGUAAACUCCCAAUCUAUCUUCUCUGGCAACUGACACUUCUCCUCUUGCAACUAGCUACUAGCAACUACACUGGAAACUUUACCACUACACUACUAUAAGGGAUGGGCAUUUCUACUAGUUUGGGCUGGAAACCUUAACUACUCUACUGGUAUUCAACUAGCACCAGAACAGGACAACUACUUUACUUAAAGGAAGGGGCAAUAACCAUACUUUCACAGCUUACCAAGCCGACACCUCUCAUAACCAUACUUUCGAACUGGAACAAGUCAUUCCACAAGAAAUACAGAAUACAGCGGGCUCUGGCUCUUACUAGCUCAACUCUUUAACUCUAGCUUAGCUCUACUCUCUACAACUACUGGCUAAGAAUUCCACCACUAGUAAGUAAACUACCCGACCCUCCGCCAAGUAAGUAAACCACCCGACCCUAGUACGAACUCUUUGGGAGCCCUCAUUUCGCCUAGAAGUAACUACAACUACAGGUAUUCACCAACAACAAGAAAAGUACUGGCAACCGAAACUCCCCUUUCUUGACUUCCCCAUAAGACUUCUGGCUACCCUUUCUUUACUUCCCCGACUAGACCUCUGUUAUUGAUUACUUGACUAGCUGCCCUUUAGCGCUACUUACUAUGUUACUUGGCCCGAGCUCUAAGUGCUGUUUUUAUUCUGAUUACUCUUCCCCAGUAGCUGGGAAUCGGUGGUACUGGUUCCAUUCUGUCGAGUAGUGGUUGCAUUCUGGUUAGCACUAGCAUCAAGUCCGAUUAGCUCAGGUUGAAGUCUGACUGAACUGCUUAGCUGCUACGUGGGCAUGAGCACUCUGCUUGGCUCCUACUUAAGAGUAUCAUUCUGACCUAGCCCACAACUAUUGAAGAGUAUUCUCCUUUCCUUGGCACUGACUCAGAUCCAGCUACUGAUCUUAUAGAUUCAAUAAGAACAGGAUAUUCUCCACUGUAAACUGGAACAGGCCGACAAGGAGCUACUACAGCAUCAACACUGGAACCGACUCACUACAAGCAGACAGCUUUCAAGUAUGGGCAAGUACCGUAUUUUGAGUUUCAAUAUAAAUAGAAGAUGGAUUAGUUUACUCGGCGCGGAAGGGAAGAGAUAGAUCCAAUUCUGAACUUGAAGUAUGGGUUGGGUCGGGAAGCUAAGGGAUGCAACAAGAACAGAAAUCUACUUUUUACCAAAACCCGUGUUUUUUAAUAGCCAAGGGGAGCUCCUGCCGCGGUUUUAACUCGCUGACGCGACACAUUAGUAGUGUCUUGUCUAGUAGUUCCUUGGCCCGCUAAUAGAUCACCAGAUUUCAAUGAGCUUUUUCCGUUUUCCCGUGUUUUUUCAUAGCCAAGGUAAUUUCCCUCCUGGACCGAUCUAUUUCCAUGAUCUUUUCACGUUUUACCGUGAAACAACACUGCCGCGUAACAUUCUGUUCCUUGGCGGGUAGCAAUCAGAUUUCCCCUGCUAAAGGGUUCCAUUUCUCCUCUUUUUUUCAUAAACCCCGUGUUUUUUCAUAGCAAAGCUUACUUCCUCUAGCUCUUUGAACUCCAACAAAACAGGAUUUCUUUCCCACUCUUGACCUUCCCUUCCUUAACUUGGCUUUCGAACCUAGACAAUUAAGUACUACUUUCCUAGAGAAUUAGUAGAGCUAGAGCAACAACUAGAGCUAGAGCACCAACCUCUUCUCUUAGCGCCUAAGCUUGUUCUUCACUUUCUAUUAUUAAGUAAGGCAACUCCCUUUCCAUACUUUAGAACCAGAACAGGACCACUACCCGCGCCCAGUAUAAGUAAGUAAACAAGCCUAGCCUAACAAGUCAGUAAACUAAGUAAGUAAACUAAGUAAGUCAACAACACUACCCGAGUAAGUAAACAAGCCGAUCCCUAUUAACUUCUUUCAACAAGCCCAGCAGCUGGCAACCGGAAUAGCAAACAGUCAAUAUAUUCUAACUAGUUGUUCCGAGUCCUAAUUCCAAGGCGUCAGGGCCUCUAGUGUUUCCUGGCAACUACUAAAAGCACCAAUUACCCUAAGCAGAAUCGAGACCUCACCACCCGCUAUAGAACUCAAAAGGGCUGUUUUUGUCUACGUUGCUUGUAUAGUAGUUACUUGCACUUAUUAACGCAGCUUGCCUAUGAAACAUCCUGUCCCAGAGAGUGGCUUUGAACCUGUAUUGAUGUUAGGAAAAAUGCCAUAGAACAGCUGAGAAAGGCGGAGAUAGUUGAUUCACAAAGUUAUUAGUCAAUUCCAUUCAAGUUGACCAGAGAGAGAGGAUCGGUGCUUAAUCCUUUAGGGGAGAGUUCGGUGCUCUAGCUCCUUUCCUUGUAUAGGGCAGAGGUGAUUGUGUUGGUGACGCUGGCAGAAGAGGAUUGAGCUGGGCAUAAUAGAGUCAGACUUGCUUUAGUUGCUAGCCCUUACUAUUAAAGGUUAACUCCUUCUCUUACCCUGCCUUAGUAGCUUGUCGACUUGGCCCUUAGUGACUUGGCCAGCAUAUAGGGCAACUCAGUAGUGAGAGUCGGAAUUGACUAAGGAGUUACAGGCUUAAACAAGUACAACUCAGAAUAGACUAGUGAACAGAAAGACUCAAACAAACACCGAUCAGACUCAAGUCAGCUACUAAGACACCUAACAACGCGACUGAAACCAGUAACAACUAGAAUGCAACUGGCAACUAGCAGGCUGAAACAAGUGCUAACCGGAAUCGAACUACUAACAACAGGACUACAACCAGUGCCACUAAGCCUUAAAAGCACUAACUCCAAGAUUGAAACCUGUGGGAGCUAUACUGGAACCACUAACAACCCGACCCGAGUCAAAGAAUUCCACCAGCCUGGUAUAUAGAAGAUAAGAUCAAAUGCAUUCUUUGUUUUCAUAGGUGCCUUCCCGCUCUAACAGAUUGCUUUGGGUAGCCUUCUUCUCGAAUUGAAAGAGCUGGAUCGGGAUCAUAACCCCUAUUUCUAGAAGUUGAACCACCAAGCCCCUACUCAAAUGAGGCUCUCUUCUCUUUAUAUUGGUUUCGGAGCUGCUCCUGCUGAUUCUACCUUUGAUGCCAAAGGAUCAGGUACUGGCUUUGAUGCCAUAAGUUCAUGAGUUGGCGAAAGGGGUGUCGCGGGAAGGGGAAUCCUCAAGAAUUAUUGUUACCCCCCGCUCCCUAUAAUAGUGGAAAAACUGUCGUCAACUGAUUGGUCCAACAAGAAAAGAAUUAAGAGCUAGUGAGGAAGCGGGAAUCGAAGUUGUAUCAGAAGCUGGAAGUAAAGGCUUUUUAGCGAGGUGUACUAAUGAGGGUGUAGUUAGCAGAGAUGAGCCAGUACUUUCGCAGUUUCACCCUGACUUUCUUUCUUUCUUUGUCUUUGAAGACCUGAUUGAGAGGAUAGGCGGGCAACCAAGGAAAAGAGGCUAAAUCUAAAGAAUCCCAGUUUGUUAGCCAAAGGCGAGCAGUAACGCAGUGUUCGAACAAGCAAGGAAGGGGGAGGGAAUAUAUAAUCAAUCCAAAAGUGAACAAGCCGACUCUACGGAAGGAAUAUGCUUAGCGCGCAGAACUCGCUAACUCCACUGAGCUUCCAAUCAUAAAUGAGUAUUGGUGGGGUAAGGGAAGAUUAUCUCAAUGCGCGCGUCGUGGUCCAAGCAUUCAAGGCUGGUCUUGUCUUCAAGGGGAGUUUUGGUCGGGGAAUAAUAAUAAAGUGACAUUUUCGUUUUCAGAUCAAGAUCGGAGGCCUGAAUAGAAGAUGGAUCUGGAGAUAAAGCUUUAGCUGUAGAAAGGUUAAGGGCAGAAGCGUUUCGUAGAGUUCUUGUUUCAUCCUAGUCCACUUCUGAAUCCGCAGUAAGAGAAUCCGCAGUGCCCGGAAAGUAGUAUAGAAUGAGGCCGUGAUAGCCUUAAACGAUAAAGAAGCCCAACUCUAUAUCCGCGUCAACAGAUUGUGCGGGCCUACUAGACCUGGCGCUCGCUCCAAUUAGGACUUGCUACGGAAACUCAAUUAAGAAAUGACCUUUAACACCGAGAUACAGAAUGGAACUUGAAAACACCUCUAAUUACUGUAUCCGUAGUAGGAGAAGUAUCAAUAGAUGUAUAAGGAGUAGGAACAGACUCAGUGGCUAAAGUUCAAUGGAAAAGGGAAGCAGUGUAUUUCUCUUUACUUAUACCAGAAGCUCGAGAGUGAAAUUGAUAUUCAUGAGUAGCGCCCGUGGAGGGAGUCCCUUGUUUAAAGUCACGUUCGAAAGGAAUCUUCAAGUUCCGUUGAGUGGGGGUAUCUUAUCGAAUAAGUAAGUAUAGAAUCAGAGGCGAAACCAGUAGUAAGAGAAUCCGCAGUGAACUAGGGAAGUCUCCAAAAGAGGAAUCCGUUGUCGUUUUGUCAACAAGAUCAGGAUCCGUUCUCAAGUCAGCAACAGCAAAAGACUCCGCUGUAUCAGUUUCAAGAUCCGAAGCAAGCAGGAUAAGAUCUUUCUUAUGCCCCUUUGACUUUAUUCUUCCCCGAUAACUACACUUUAAACAAAUCAUUCCACUUGCUGCUGCCCUUACUUAUAUUAGGCUUGAUCAAGCAUCUAUCUAAUCUAGCUUACUUACCUAAUUCUAUAUGAUACCUAUAUCUUUCAACAAUAACUCAAAGGUAAUAACCGCUUGCUCCUUAACUCUUACUUGUCUAGCCUGUUUCCUUGUCCUUUUUUAGAGUAAUGUUUCCGGGUUCCAGAAGCAACAGCUAAAGUCAAACAAUCAUUUCUUACUGAAUUCAUUCAUAGAAUCUCAAACAAUCAUUUCUUAUCUUACUACUUCAUAUAAUAAUCUAGGAAAGUAACAGAGCAUUGCCAACUUGAUCUUAUCCUAACGCCGAAGACAGGAAUUGACCUAGAAACUCCCGAAAAUCGGAAUCUUUCUUUUGAGCGGUCAACGUAAACAAAUAAGAAAACCCACUCUCCCUGGCGCCACAGCUUAUGCUUCCGCGGAUGCUUAUGACUAAUAGCCAGUACUCUUUGGAUUCAAGUCGAACAGAACUACUUGUUGCUGACUUUGGCAGAGCUUCCUCUCUCUCUUACAAAGGGAAAAAGUCAAGUCAAACAAAGAAUUCCAAUAAGGCGUAUGAAGCACCACUUACUUAAUCUAUAAGAAAGUCACUGGUCACCUCAACUUCACUUUAAGAACAUUGUCUUUCGUCGACAACACAAGCAUCGAACCUAGCCUGCGCAGGAGCAAGAAGUCAUCAAGUGAAAGGACUGGGCGAUUAAGAACCAACCCCUACCCCUAUGUCUUGUUAAUACAAAUGCGCCCUUAACUACAAGGAAGCCUUAAAUAAGGCCUUUAUGAGUCGUUGAACAGAGGUUUCAUGGAGCUAAUGGCAAAUUACCUAUCUUGUACACUUACAGUAGUUCUAAUGCAUUCAUUAUUUGAUUAUAACCGCGGUAGGAGAGUGAUAUUUCUCUUAGCCCUAUCCUUGCUCAUACUUUCUUUUUACCUUGAGCACUACGUUACGUGGACAUUUUCUUCUCGAGUCUAUUAUUCUUCUGUAUAGUGUAGGGGGCAACAGAUUGUCCUGGUUACCGCUUUGACACCGCUGAUUCCAUGUAGGAUGACAGUCUCACUUCUACACUCGCUUCAGCAGUUUCUCAUUCCAUUCCACAAUUCUAUUCUUCCUUUUGAUAGGCCAUAUAGGGAAAAACAACACUCUUUUGCGUCGCCUAUCCUUUUGAUUCAUAAGCUUCUGUAACGGAACUCGUACUCGUACAUUUGCUUCAAUCAAAUAAUCUUUAUCGGCAGCCCGCCCUUCCUUUGCUUUUUGAAUGAAACUCGAUUGUAGUAGACCGCGCAGUUCUUAGUGUUCUAGAAAGAAUAGGUUUUGUUUAACAAUCCGUUCUCGCACCGGUAAGAUACGAGUGAGAAACCCCUAAAUGAACACUGCUGAUUCUGUUGAAACUGCUUAUGCAUAUGCUGAUGACUUAUAAACUCCUUAACGCAUUUGUUUCUUGCUUAGUUACCUUGUGUUCGAAGCAAGCCCUAGUUAUAGUUCUUUUGCCGACCUCGACUGCUUACUUUAGUCUUACAAGUCCUUUCUUCAGCCGUUUGAUGCUUACUUGCCUUGAAACCUCACAGCUUACUUGCGCCUUUACUUAAUAGCUAUUUCGGAUUAUUCUUAUGUAGAGUUGCAGACUAGGAUGACUUUCUAGUUUAGAGAAGAAGCUUUUUGAGUAUAAAGGAAAGGAAUAGUCUCAAGGUUCGGUUCAGUUCCAGGAAAGUAUCAAGAUGUUGGCGACGAGCCGAGUAGUUCAUCAAAGAAAAGAGAGUGAGAGUUUCCGUUUCGUUCGGAACUUCCAGUGCUUUUCCAGAUUCAAGUCGAGUUCAAGAAGCCCUUCCACUUGUUUGAAUUGAAAUAAAUAAGUAACAUAUGAGAUAAUAAAGUAUUCAAAAGAAAGCUUGACUCAACAAGCAACGUAGAAAGUAUAGCUUGUUCCCCAAAACUCACCUAUUACUGCUUGCUCUGCUCGGACCCUUUCAUAGAGAGAGCAUUGAUGUCGUCCACCCUUGAUUUUCUAUACGAGACUAAGAGCUGUAGUCGGGCCAUUGUGAGGGUAAACUAAUACGGACGUUGCUUGUUCGAACUCAUAACUCUGUUCGUAUACUAGGUGAGCACUUAGGCUUUCGAAACUCCACCUCCACUCAACAACGUACUCAGGCGAAAUCCAAUCUCAAAUAAAUCAAAUGUUCCAUAAUUGAGUAAAACCACUGCAUACAUAAAAUCACUACCGCUAUAGAGUAGUCGAACUCCAAGAAUAUUACUUACAUAAAGAUAAUCUCUCUAGUAUCAUGUACUCUAGUAGAAUGUAUAGAAAUUGGAACCGAACUAGCUACUCCAAUAAGCUGCUUAUGCGCCCUAUCUUCUUAUUCUUUCUGUUCUGCUACCCCCCAUUUGAAUAAAACGAAAUCUCACUGACAACAUCUAUAAGCGCUAUACCAUACUGCGAAACUUCCAUCACCUAUUACAGCUGGCUCUAAAUCAGAGGCACAUCCCCAAUAAUAGAAUGGAGUCAAAACCCUGUUGACAUCUUACAUAGCAAAACCUCACUGCAUGUUUCUGGCGCCGUUCAUCUGUUUAGUGAGUAAAGCAUUAAACAUAAACCAAUGUAGGGGUGGGUAGGGAGAGUGUGAAGUCCCCAAAGUAUUGAGAAUGAAAUCCUUUAUAUAGUAUAGAAAUAAGUCCCCAAGGUAUUGAUAAUGAAAUCCAGAAAGAGAAUGAAAUCCUUUAUAUAGUAUAGAAUAUUCAAGUAAACAAACAGAACAAGAAGAGGAAGAGAAUUGAGGCCUUGUUGGUCCCGAUUAGGAUUGUGAAUUGAGUGAGGCCUUGCUCCAGCGAAUUACUAACAACUAGUGGCUUGUUCCCUGCAACUCUAUGAGAUCUAUGAUCCUCCAAAGGUAUAAGGCCCCUUCCAAUAAUCAGCGGUAGCAAGAUUGGACUGAGGACGGACCGCGUGUCCAACAUUUCUCAAUGGCCAGCUUGAAUAUUGGCAAAAUGUUCCAUAUCUCCAUUCUACCUUGACUUUUGUCUGUCGAGUUACUUCGUUCCUCCUCUGACUUUAUUGAAAUAUAGUGAGUCAAAUAUAAUGUACCCUUGCAUCCAAAUCUGGCACUACAUAACAAGUCAAUAAAAGCAGAAAAUACCGUAUGCAUAUUAAGGUGUGAAAGGAGUCUCUAAAAAGCUUCGUAGCCAUCAUAGCUUAGCGAGACUAAUCGCGCUUGCGAGAGAGCAUCGAGUGGGUUUACUUUAAGCUGCGAGUGCACAAGUGGGUUACUUUAAGCAGCGAGUGGGCUGGUAUUCUUGUAGAUGGGGGAGCCGUACCUUAUAAUCAAAAAGAAGGAUGUUGUGGCGUCAGAUGAUUGAGAAAGCAUCCGAGUAGAGCUUAGUUGUGACACCGGACGAGUUGAUAAAUACACACUGGUUAUGAAGGAACUAGCCGUGAAGGUGGGUGGGUUCCCGAGCAAUCAUCAUACGAAAACGAAAACCGCGUUUGGUGCUUGCGCGCGUGAGAUGAGAUCCAGUAAGCUAUCUAUAUAUAGAGAGAGCCAGCUGGGUAGUUUUGCCUCAUUAGGGAGGAAAGAUGCGCAUGAAGAAGCAAGCGGGAUUAAGCAGAUGCGCUAAGAAUAGAUGAAGCAAAGAUGGAUCCGCGCUUAGGGCUAGGGCUGUUAUUGGUCGAACUCGUCUUCAACGUGUUGAGGCCAUACUAGAAAGAACCACGCCCACACCGCUGUAGCUCUAUGGCUAUAUAGACGCAAUAGGGCACUAAGAAUCCACUUGGAAUUAGUAGUUUCGGUUCAUAUCGGCAGGAAUGAGCCAUUCUGUAGUACGUAGUGGCGAGCUUUCAUUUCCGUUCAGUAAGUAGGGGAACGGCCGUAGUAGCUAGCGAAUCCACGUAGUAGUUGUGUUUUGUGUUCUAUCCAUUCUUUGGGUGUGAAAGAAACCAGAAAUGGAAUUGUAAGUAGCUUCAUAUAUAAUAAGAAAGUAAACAAACUAACAAGCAACGGAACUCGCUAACGUGAGGGGUGCUUAUUUCUAUUUUGCUGUUCUUUCAGAGUUUAGGUCCUAUUACUCUGGAGACUCUUAAGCCAUUGAUGUCUGGAAACCUUAUUGUUGGCUUCUGGUCUUUCUAAAGAAGGCAAGCCUCGUGGUAGUCCCGAGAUUAAGUACUCCCGCAGGCCGAGCCCCCUUCUUCUAUACCGGAAAGCCUCUAACCCUUACCACUGCUUCUUGCUUUUCCAAUCCCUAUUUCUAUUAUAUCUCUAUAUAUAUAUUAUUUCAGAUAGAUUUCUACUUCCUGCCUUUUCCAAUCCCUAUUUUGUCCAUUCUAUUUCUGUAUUAUGAGAGAGGUGAUUGAUAGAUUCUUUCUUUGACCACUGAUAUGCGAAUGAUGCAUAAUUCUUUUCGUUCGCAUCGGAGGAGUUGCAAGCCGAUCUACCUUAUGCUUAUGUCUGGAUAGAGAAUUGGAUUAUGGCUCCGCUUUUCUUGACUAUCCCGCUUUUCAUUACUUUAGCAGGAUAAGAAGCAUUUCGGGAGUCAAUACCUCUCCUCUUCCUAUUCCCGAAGCUAGUAAGAGUAAUAAGGUCCCAACUCAGAGUGUUGUUCUUUUUUAUGAUAUCGAAGCAAUGUCGUAUCCAGCUCCGUUCUAGUAGCGGAAAGAGAGAUCGAGAUGUGAGAUUCCGGGAUGAGUGAAGAACACUAGCAGCUCAGCCGCCCUAACGGAAAAAGGACUUGGAAAAAGUUGCAGCGCCUGACGCUCUUAAUAGCCUAAAGUGAGCUAAAAGCGCUAAAGGAGUUUGGGCUUGCCCUAUGUUUCCAGUUGAUUUCUUAAUUCAAUGCGCUAGCAAGUUCUGUAUUCUGGCCCUAUGAAUAUCUUCUCUUAUUAGAAUGCGCUAGAUCGUACCCAAAGAGCCAAGUAACUACUAAUGACCAACCCACCACUACUAGGCAAAACGGGACCUAAUCAACUUGCCUUAUAAUGCAUUUAUGACUAGAAGAUUUAUGGUCGAAGAAAGGACUUGUACAGGGUUUGAUGCGGGGAAGUGGAGAAUUGCCUGUUCGAGGUAAAGUUUCAAGGAAAGGUGUUGUCGACUCUCAAUCGGGAAUAAGAUAAUAGUACUCGGGCUUGCUUUGAAGGGCAGAAGAAAGUAUAGGCUUAGUUUCUAGGUGUGAGUGAGCGAGAUACUUUUCGUUCCUAUGGUCUACUGCUUUAAGGGGCGAGGGAAAUCGUGAGAGAACAGUCUUCCUUCAUCUGCUGCAAUGAUUCUUUCCUAUGGAUAGAUACCAUCGGUGAACAAAUGAAAUGAUGGAUUUAGCUUAUUGAUUGAGAAUUACCUCUUACAGAUGCACAUAUAAAGGAAGAUAGAUCGCUUAUGUCUAGGUCGCCCCGCUCUCGCUUUGCUCUCCCCUUGACUUCUGUCGUUGGACUACGCGCACAGGAUCGGUUUCAAUAAUGGCUGGAUCAUUCUGCCGCUGAAAGAUCACUUAAUCACACACAAGCAAGAUGAAGUGCUAUUCCACCGGUGAGAAGAGAAGAACUGGUACUUUAUGCGAAUAUUGAAGAAGCGAGAACACACUCGUGAUAAGGGCGGAAUAAGGGUAGCGGUAAGUCUAGACUACUACUUUCAGGGGCCAAAAGCAGGUUCACUCAGGACUACUAUACUACCUUUUGUUUGGGAUUCCACAACUAAUGAAGGGGAGUUCGGUGUCGGAUCGGAGUGGGAAUGGGAAGUAGCUCCCAAGUCCUGUGUUUGGGAGUUAGGUUAGUUGGUAAAGAGAAAAGAUGCUGUUCUAGACUCAACUCGCCCCCCUUCCGGCUUGGCACAGCUGAAAUUCCUUUACUAUAUGAUUUCUUUUCUUUUGCCCACCUCGACUCUUGCAACUAAUACCUCCUCGCCUCUUGCAACUAGCUAAUCUAACCCCUUAACUUUAAGCUCUUGAUGAAGAUACCUCGCAAGUUAAGAUAGUAUGACCUGUGCUCUGAACCAACCCAGUACACUUUCUUUACCACCUCUCCUCUGUAAACUAAUGCCAAACAGGUCACCAACGUAGGUAAGGGCUAAGUAUUUGAUAUAACACUAGCAAACUGACUAUACGGGCCCGAACAGGAUUGAUUGUCUCUCUCGAAGCCAACUACUAGAGCAGCUCUCUCCUCUGUAAACUAUUCAAAGAAUGAGGCUCUGUUACUUGGCCCCUACUAAAUGAUAGAUUCUCUUUAUAUAUGAGAUCUUUAUAUAUGAGAACUUCUUCUAGGAAAAUGGAUAAGUAAGAUCAACUACUAGGUGGGUAAGGCUCGUAAGCUAUGAAAGUCUAGUUAUUGCCCCUGAAAGGAGUAGUCCAAAGAGUAGAGGAAAGUUUACUUCCAGCCUAACUAUUGAACUCAGUAGUCAAAGAACCAAGACACCAAUAUUGGAAGAAAAAACAAUCAAUGAUCAAAACCAGAAAUCAAGAAUAUCAGAAUAAAGAAUUCCACCACAGUAUACACAUAGUAGGGGAAAAUAUAUAUCACUUUAUUAAGGAAACUAGAUUCCACUCAGCGGUGGGUAAGAAUUCUACUCUUAAGUAGGAGCCAAGCAGAUGCAAGCGGUAAGGGAGUUCAUUCAGCAAGUAAGAAGGGCGAGCUACUAUAGAGGAUCCAAUGAAGCAAGUCAGAGUUGCACUCAGUAGUCAAAGCACCCGAAACAAGACUGGAAGUGAAGAAGUUCAGAGCAGAUAUAAUAAGUGGCACAGGAACUAGUUAGAGGCUUUGAAGCGGGAAGAAAAGAAAAGACCCAUACUUAAGGGGGAGCAGCCCUGCCGCGCAACUUACUAUGUUGCUUGGUGGACUUGUUCAUAAGGAGAGGGAACCAUGUUUAUAGCACCGGGUCAACUAGGAGGUCAGUCUUAUUGUUAGGUAUCUUAGUUUAGUUGUUAGUGGUUUCAGUCGAGGUGGGCAAGGUCAGAAACAGAAUCAGGGUAAGGGGAGUCGGAACAAGAUCUGAAGCCGGGUGCUCGAUUUCGUAUGCAAGGAAAGAAAGUCAAUAAUGAGUUCAAAGAGACAGCUCUAAAGUGAAUGGUUAUAGUCUUCAGACCGGGAGUACUGUGGCGUAGUAGUACUGUUGCAUCAGUAGUAGGUAGUAGCCAUAGGAUAGGUAGGCAAGCUAGAACAUCUAUUUCCUCCCCUGGUAAGUACUGUUAGAGUGUUAGUGUAAUCCCGGUAGUCCAGGUAGUACGAGUUGACAGAGGAGACCCCCCUAGCUCCUGUUCGAAAGUGUAGUAGGCCUAUUCGCCAGUGAGAAAGAGAGAAGCAACAGAGAGAAUAGUUAGAAGUUGCCAUAGCUCGUGGAGUCAUAGGUAAUAGUCAGCAUCCCGUAUUGGUUCAACCAGUAAGCAUCUAGUAUUGGUAUGAACUCUAAGGUCUCGAUUCCCCACAUCUAGGUACUCAGUUCAUUCUUUGCCAGUAGUUUAGAGUUGCUAGUUUGAUUCUGAUUAUAUGUAAACUAACCACUCCAGAAAUGAAGUAUGUAGGGUUCAACCUGAAUUCUUCUCCUAGUGAAGUCAACUCUAUUCUCUACCUUUCUUACCUUGAGCAAGUCUAUAAGUAACAAGUACUAUCGGUAUUCAACUCAAACUAACUAACUUGUAAUACUCAUCUAACUCAGGCAAUAGGGUGCUUAAUACUAAGAUAGUAAAUGAAGAGGGGCACUGGUAUCAGGCUUAGAUGCCCUGGGGUUAAGGCUGUUACUGACCGGUUUCAGGCUUAGCCCCUACCUUACACAACUCUAAACUCCCCUCUCUGACAAGGAUAAGAACAAGUAGGAAAUUCCAUAAGCAAUAAGUGGUAUGGUCUGCCCUGUAUUAUAGGAGAAAACGGAAUUAGAAGCUCUCUUAGGUGGACUUCUCCAGCUUCUGUAUCAAAGUAGGAAUUACUGAAUUUCACUAACAACUAGUAAUAAGUCAUUUAAGAAUUCCACAAAUAAGUCACAGAAUUGACCUCCUUCUCGCCAAACUCCCUUUGACAUAGAUGCUUGCCCGGCCUGGCCUCUACUUAGUCAACUCCAUUCUUAUUGUCUGCCUACCUCAACUCAAGCUUUCAUUAUAUAUUAGGCCCGCUCUUGCUUCUGUUGUAACUACUGAUUCUCGGGUUACUCCUGACUCCGCCUUCUCUUGGGAGUCCUGUCUUCAUGGCGGUACAACAGGGCACAGGAAUAGUUGAAAAGACUCUCACUUUAUAUACCGAUCUUUGCUUCACUGGCUUGGGCUUAUACUCCUUACUUCCGUCCUUACUUAUGCGUAUGCGCUUUAGGCUGCUACUGCUUCAUCUAGGUCUACCGCUCCCUGCUGAUAAAGUCAGUCUGUCGUUCCCUUAGCUUGGUCUACCUCUCUUUGUUUUGAGUAUUACUUUCCUUACUAGAAUUCUUUACUUGCAUAUUCAAUCUUUCGGGCAGGAAUCCGACUACUCACCAAUAAGACUUACCCCACUCACCGGGGGAAUACGAAUACUACUAUGGAAUACAGUAACCUAUGGAAAUACUAAUACCACCAAUAAGAGUUGAGCUUGGAACUAAGACUUGCACUAUUGAUCCGGGGAUCCUUACUUAUGAGGUUUAAGACCUUACCCUGUCUUUUAUUCUUUCACUGCAGGAACCAAGGCAGCCCCGUUGUCCACUUCAUUAUUGUAUUGAUAGCGUGAGUAUGCCACUAUAGGAACAUGAUCCGGAUGCCCACUACUGAAAUUGAUAUGUGUUUUUUCAUAUGAUAUUCAAUAGUCGUUUUCGUAUAGUAACUAGGUCGAAAAGGGUGACUUUUUCUUCUCUUUUUGGAGCCAAACAACUUCUCUUUUUCUAUUGGACUGGACGAUAGAGCUCUAGUUCCGGCUUCACUGAAGGAUAGGCGGGCCAGCAAUAUGGGCAAGUAGUUUACCAAGGAUACAAGAUGCCGGGAACCAGUAAUAGAAUAAAAGUAAGUGAAGCAAGAUCCGAGGGUAAUAGGCGAAGGCCGGGAAGGCGAGACAUACAUUCACAUUAUGAGGGCAGCUUUAGCUGCCAGCGAAUCCAAGUAAUUAGUAAAAGACUUUAGUGUGCUAGGGAGGGAAUUCCACUCUUAAGUAAGAUACAUUGGACUGGGAAUUAAUAAUGGAACUAGGACUUCUCAGAACCAGCACCCCAGAAUACAGAAUAUACUUACGCCACUGAUUGAUGAGAAUCGAAACACCCGCCUAGCCUAGCAAGACCAAGAAAGUAGGGUCUAAUUAAGAGUAAGCCUGUUUGACUGCAGCUAUAUUAUAAAAAGCAGUAGAUCAAUUCUCUGUUUCGAGUUAAGGUCUCGCCAGAACCUAGAACUAAAACUACCUGGCAAAGACAACUGCAAUAAAAAACAACAUAUAGUAUAUUUAUGUAGAGUUCUCACUUUAGAUGUGUUCGGCCAGUCAGUAAGUCGCCGUAGAGUAUAAAGGGCCCUUUACUGACUCCAAGGCUACCUUGCCUAUCUAUUACUCUUGGACUUAUUACUUCGAUUCUUCUAACACCAACUAUAGGCCUUCUCCCCUUCCAGUACUUGCAUUAUUUAUUGAUAGCUCUAGUCUGCUACUCCUCUGUCCCAGGCUUGCCUUACUUUAUCUAAGACUUACUUGUUUGACUCUAUUACUUCACUCAAUAAUCAUUGUUAGUCGAGUGGUUGUUUGGCGUUUAGUAGUGACUUUACCUGUCCUCGAUUCGUUAUUUUGUUUCCAAGGCUCUAACCAAUACAACUCGGCCUUAUACCCCAAACGGAGAAGCCAACUACAGCUCAUAGGGCUUUCAACCUCAACUAGGAGCCCUACUACUAAUAUCAGACCGGAGCUACUGGUUCUAAUACAAUAUCUGGGAAUAAAUCAACUUUCAGCAAUACUACUCGGACCUUCCCUAAAAUCUGACUUGCAAACUUCGACUCCGCUCUUGCAUUCUAUGAUUGUAGCUUCAAUCUCCUUUGCGCGGAUUGCUAGGAACUACUGGCCCGGGUAUGACAUGACUUUCUCUUUAUAGAAUAUAUAGGAUUGAACUGGCGCUAACAGGACAAUAACUAGAACCUGGGACCUCCUAGUAAGCAGGAACCAAACAACUAUACCGGAGAAUUUCGCUAAUAAGUAUAGGAUCUAAGUGGAAACAAAGGUGCUACUUAUACUUAAAUGAACAACUGGGGAUCGAACACUGCCUAGCAAGACUCUCACUAUUGCUUUUAGAGUACAACCACUAGCGAUAAGAGUUGCCCCCACUAAUUAGACUCCUUUAUCCUGUUAUGUUGCUAGUACCCUUCAUUCUAUAUUCGUAGCUUCAAACUUCUACUAGUAGCUCUUGACCUGGCAUUCCUUGGUUCUUAUGCUCCUCGGUGAAACCAUUGCUUCCGUGUUUUAGUAUGUAUUACUUCCCUUUCUUUCGUUCUGAAACUCAAUACUUGCAUCCUAUCUCCUAUGUUCGAUUGUCGGCCUACUACCAACUUACUCCUAUCGGAAUCAAACUAGGAAAUCCACUCGGUGAGCUCAACCCGGGCCAAGCAAAUAAUACUAAAUGAACUAAACUCAAAAAGGGGCCAGAAUAUUAAUGACACUACAAACAAGACUCUCGCAGCUGGCUUCCACGAAGAAAUAAAAGAAUACAGAAUUGGCUACUUAUUCCACAUGGCAUAUUUCCUAGAUACAAUACAGAGUAGCGGUAUUUACUUAAGCCUUCCUUUCAGUCCCUUGUGCCCGAGUUGGUGUCUAGCACCUUUCCUAAUAAUAAUGAAUUGGAUCACUGCUCCCUUGUCUAUGUGCCUCACGCUACUUACGGAAAUUAUGUAUUAUCACUUUUGCUCUUCUACUACUAGCUACCAGAUUGAACCGUGCCUAACAGACACCAGUGUGCUCUCUAAGACGACUUUCGCCCCGGCUAAUCAGAACAACGUCAAUUGUCAUAGGGAAUAGGAACAGUUACAACGAGACUUUACUGGCGGAUACAGAAUUCUACUUGUAACUAUAGGGCUGAUACUGCCGAUAGAAAGAUGGAAAAAGGAAAACAGGAAUCCAAUUGACUACUCCGCCAACUCACUCUUACUUUAAUGCCUAUAAGCCUGGCGCGCUACUGACUUCGAAGCUGACCUUAACGAACCAUACCCAUAAACUCCAUUCUGUAUUUCAAGAUUCAGUAUUACAGGACCCCUGGCACACCCUUUGACUAAUGAAUUGGAUUUUUGCUUUCCAACUGCCAACUAAUGGUUUCUCGUUCUUGAGCUACCGGCUUGGAUUCUGUAACUGGAAUACUGGGUAUUGUAUUUCACUAUUACAAAGUAGAACUGAGCUACUACUGAUUAGACUGCUCCACCACUAUAUCAAUGUUUAAACACAUUAUUAUUAAGUCAAUGAAAUAAGGCAUUGAAGAAAUCCAAUAUAGAUUCAAGUAAGUAAGGGAAGGCUAACUGGCAGAAGGGGCAGACGCAGACUCGGAUAAUAUGCAAUAAGUAUGGCAUGUCGGGGGGAGACAUUAAUAAGGCUUGGGCUACUCAGCGCCAUUCUUAGAUUGGUGAAUUGACUUCUGUAAGUCAGGUUUUGUUCCAUAGUAAGUUGAAUCUCUUAGAGCGCUGUUCUACUCUUUGACUACUCGGUUUCAUUAGAACUUUACUACUUGAAAGAGAUAUUCUAUGGUGGAUUUACAACUUUACAGAAAUAGGCAUAGGUGGGCGAGAAAGAGUUCCUACUCUAGUUCUGGUUCGAGUUAUCUUCUUAUAGUGGGUAGUGGAAUUUCUAUUGGGUAGUUUCAUAGUAUUCUUUGCUUGUAUAGUAGUUACUCGUCGUCUUGGUGGUCUUAUUUUGACUAGUUGAAAUACCGGGUUAGAGUUAAAGCUAUUAGGCUACGUUCUUUUACUGCCUUCCUUGAUUCUAAGUUAGAGUUAAGGUCCCAUCCGUACUAGCCAGCAGCUGACGCUGCCCUCUCCUUAUUAAGAGCAUAGUUCUCUAGGCGCCGCCGCUUUGUAAUUCCUUAUUUGAAGACCGGAUCAGCUGUUAAAGAACGAAAGCAAAGAGAUAUGGAUGUCGUGUCCGAGUAGUUGGAAUCAAAGUAAAGGUAGCUAGACUUAAAGCAAGUAAGGAAAGGCUCACUUCUGACCUGAACUAAGUAAUGUUAUGUUAGUCGCAGUUGGAUUCCUGCUUGAUAGAUUCGGUCUUGGAAGUAAGUGCGAAAGCCUGUUAGAGUAGCUUGCCUCUUGUUGUCAGUAGAUUGAUUCCUCAUUAAUAGAGAGAUUACCCACCUAGGAGAGAAGCCUUGUAAGCACUAGUAGAAUUCCCUAUAUGGAGUUAUCGUAGUAUAAGCCUAUGAGCCCGACACCCAUUCUGACCUUCCCUGCCUGAAAUCUAGAACUAUCCAUUUGCAAACUGACAUUGCUUGAUCUUAUUCUGACUAUCCGAUAUCCGAUUCUGACUCGCUAGGUUGAGUAUCCUUCCUGGGCUAUCAACAACAUAAUUGGAAGAAAACCACCACCAACAGGACUUCCGCUCAUACUACUUUGAUUUAUACCUGGGCCAGCAAUACCUCAAUUCUUGACUACUCUCUUAGGAAACCAGUUGUUUGUCUCGUCUUCUCAUUCUUUAGUUAAUGAUCGAUCCGUUUUACUUACUUCAAAGCUAAGCUGGCUUUCCUUUAUUUACUCCGAUACUAGUACCGAUUAGACUUUCGCUAUUGAUCUCAAAGCUUGCUCCACUGGCUAUGUGCCUCCCCUUCCCUUCCCAAACUCUGACUCCUAUGACCUUCAAUACCUGUGUUAGAGCAUCAGCCUGUAGCAACUGCCUAAAAGUCUGGAAGUUAGUCCCUUCCUACUAGCUCCCUAGGCGCUCUGACUUGAACUCCCUUCUUGCUGUACAUGCUUUCAAUCUUAUAUUCCUUUCUCUUGGCCUGUGACUCAUACCUUGUUCUCCGCCUAUGAAGCCUUACCUCAGCUAUUUAUCUACUGAAUCGGAUCCAGCUUAACACUAUCCUUCUGUGCUUCCAUUCCCGGGCUUCCACCUGUCACCUGUCAUUCUUUAUUCACUCAUUAGGGCUUAGACCUAGGCCUGUCCUGUUAUUCCUAUACUAUAUAAAUAAGUAAAAGAGUGAACCUACCUCUCGCCCACCUACGCACCCCUCCCUAUGAAAAGUAGGAAAUACACCUAUACGCCUAUGCCCCACCAACGAAUGAAACAAAGAAGUCAGACACUCCCCACCCACUAACUCGGGCUAACACACCGCUAACCGACUUGAACUAGUGGGCAAGCAACGUACAAUCAACGUACAACUAAGUAAGAGCCAAAACAAGUAACAACUAGUCAAGCACGGAACGAGACCAACCCUACUCUACUAUAUUGCAUUGCGUGUAUCAAGGGUAGAGGUUUGAUAUUCUAAAUCAGAAUGAAAUCAAUUACUUUAGAGUUAAUCCUAUGUGUUUAGCCUGGAAAUGCAUCUAGAAAUGUAUAAGUAGAAGAUCGAAGCGGAAACAUCAGAAGUUCACUCAGAAGUAAGGAUACCUCUGUCUAAGUAGACCAAUAAUAAUAUAGCGUACACAUAAUCAGAAUUGAGGCUUAACUACUUAACUUAGGGCCGAUGUAAUUGAGCCAACACCAAUGAGACUAUAGCCCAGAACUUGUACUUCCCUUACUGCCAUAUAAAGCGGCCCUGCUCCACGCAAGAUAAGGCUAACUGCCCUCACCUUAAAACUGCAUUUCAUCUUCGAUUCUUAUAAUGUAAACAAAACUCUGGUCUAUCAGACUCACUACCUAUUCACUAAGUCUCCCUUUUCUAUAUCUCCUUCUGUUACGGGACCCACCUAGUGCAUCUAACAAUAGAUUAUAGCUCUACCCUUACUUGCUAGAGAACUCAGCUUACUACUAAAGGAAUGACUUCUAUUUAUAAGAGAACAACUUGAAAGUCAUAUUGACUUGACCACCAACAAGACUGACUUUACUAGCGGGUAAAUCCACUGCUGCUAACAGGGCUUUUGUUAACUGCUAUCAGAGUACUACGACUACCAAUACUGGAACUGGAACCGGGAAUCCAACACCCCAGUCUAAUACCUGGAACAAUAAAGAAAGAAAUCCAUUAGUGCUUCUCAGAACGUAGCUACUGCCUAUGAAAGAAAGCCUACUGCCACUAAAGAGCUUGAAGUCCUUGGCCACCUUCUAUGGUUCUUCAACUAACUAAAAACCAAGAAAAGAACAAAGAAAUUGUACUCGGGGAGAUGUAUAGAGACUACUCCAGCCGGUAUAUAGGGCAAUACUCACUACCAAGAGCAAACAAAGCUUUAAAGCAGUAAUAGCUUGCAAGGUAGACAGGAGCUGCAUCGCAGUACACGAGUACAUACACAUUAACGCUCACGGGGGUGUAGAACAAAUGUGCUCCAACCAUCUUGCAGAGGGGGAAGUCGCUCAUACCGAGGGAGAUAGCCUAUCACUCUUAGAAUUCGCCUACGUACCUCUAAUAAGCACCAAACGGAUGAAACUCAACCUAACCUAGCGCUUCUAAGCCAACAACAAGAACAGGAACAGCCAAGGAAAAGAGGUACGCAAGGGAGACAAUUCCAUAUAUGAAGAGCCAGAUCUUGUAACUUCAAUUGACUUAAGGGCUUGACUUGCAACUUCAAUAAGAACAGGAACAGGGGAUUCCACUCCUAAUGAAAGGGAUUCAACUACUCUACUACUAGUUGGUGCUGUCAACCAGUUCAGUCUCUUCUUAUAAUGUAUUCGUUGCUUGGCCUUUUCAACUGAUACUGUCGAUAAACAGACUCGCGAACUACUGCUACCAAGUCUCCCCUCUCCCGCUUCCAAUCUAAUAUUAAUGCUCAUAGGUCUGAUUCCGCUGCUAACAAGACUUCUGCCCGUGUCAACAAAACAAUGCUUGAACUUAUAACCCUUACUGUGUAUCUAAGCCCGUAGCUAAUACCUUUUUUCACUAUGCCUUUCCUGCCUUACAUGCUUUAACUAAUGGUCUAAUUCCCGUAGUUCACCUCUCUUAGCUUAGCCCACCACUCCUAGCUAUCAAACUGAAACUAAGGCCUUACACUCAUUCUUUUAGUGCUUCUUUUCAUUCUGAUUCAGUUAACUUAUAAUAAUGCAAAUAUUAAUUAAUAAUGAGUAAUCUUGCGCCGCUUACUUGUCUAGUGUCUUGGUCCGAACACAUCAGUCACUGACCUAAAGCCUGACUCACCGGGUAGGCAACCUAGAACACCGCUCCGCCUUAGUGUCUUGCUUAUUAGUUUCAAACUAAAGCUGGUACUUCUUAUACUGUAGCUAUUGAUCUAACCAAUACCGGUAAGAAGCACACUCAUAACUAGUAAAUCACUACUACCCAGAUAGCCUUAACUCAAAGACGGCAAUCCAACAACUAUUGAUGAGACUGUAGCUACUGACUACUAGAUAACACUACUAAUAUAUGGAAUGCACGACUACCCACUAGAUCAAACACUGCACUAUGGAAUUUGGAGCUGCUGCUGAUGAGACUUGAACCAAUGCUAAUCAGAACGAAAACACCUGUAAGAAUAGCUAGCCUUCUAAGACAACCUAGUAAGCCCUACCUCCUUUCAGCAAGUAAGGGCAAGCUCAUAAGGCAAUAGAGCAAGGAUAGGGAUCAUAACUACAGAAACAGAACCCAAUUAAUAGUUAUAAGACGAAACAUAGGCUGAAACUCCAAGUAGAGAAUAAAGGUAGUGUAAAAGACAACUACAAUAAAUAACUCCACAUAAUGUACUUAGUACGAGUUUCUUACUUCGGAUGUGGUUAUGGCGGCAGGUAGCGAGUUGGGUCUCGUGCUCCUGUCUUUUGUUCCUUAACGCUGACUGUGGAUCCUCUAUUGAACCUGUUAGUCUGCCUUUGCUUGUGAAAAGUCUUUAGCUACUUACUUGAUUUCUUGUAAUACUGCCUAUGAUCCUUACUAUACUUUGACUUUGAUUCUCUACUUUAUCUUGGGCCCGGCACCCUUGCUUGCUAGUUAAAGAAGCCAACUACUCAUUCGAAUAUGAUAACUCGAACCAGGGGGUAAUAACAACCAAUACUUAGGGGAAUCAUAACAACCAGCACCCAAGGGAAUCCAACUAUGGGCAAACUGACUUGAGCUACUACUUCUAAGAAGAGAUCUGCCCUACCUAGCUAUCAUUCUGACUAUACCUUUGAUCAGCCUACCCUUCCUGACUCUUAUUCUUUACCUAGUGAUCCGGAUCCUUACUCAUUUGGUUUAGAACCCAACUACUACUAAUAAGGGUUGAGCACAGAACAUAGACUUAUAUAAUGUCUAGCGAAUCUUCCUAUUACUGAUAAAAUACCCGAACUUGGUUAAGCAGACUGCCGCUACACAUUACCUGUUAUGUUGAUGCUUAGGUUUAAGUCCUUCACUGCUUAGUUUCAUCUUUGUUACCUCGCCUUUCCGUCUGCGACUACUUGAUCUAAGGCUAACUCCGCCUCUCCUAGCUAUAAAACGGAAAUGACUUAUUUACAUUCCCGCUUGCCCACUACUUUCUUGGGUUCUGUAUUACCUAUUAUUUCACUGCUGACUUAAAAGCUGUCCUUACUCGCUAUAGGUCUCACUGUCCUUGCUUCGAUUCUAUGUAUUCUUCCUGACAUCUCUGCCUGUUAGUUAAAGAAUAUCCACCCUACUAAUACUGAUUUCAAUCAUCGCCAACAAGCCUUUGACUACCACUCACACGAUCCCCGCUUACAUGCCUCUACUCCCUUAGGCUUUCAGCACCCGAACCCACUUCUUUACUUAUAGCUUAAAAGCCUCUCCUCUGUCAACAACUACUGAUGAAACGGGUUCCCUUGCCCACCUCUGUUGGAUUAUACCUUGCAUACCUAGACUCUAAAGUCACUUAGGAUAUCCCUUUGAGCCCUCUCCUCUUUCUCGCCUACCCAUCUAUAUCUGACAUGGCAAAUGAUUCUAUUUCCACUUUACAACUGGACCAGACCACUUACUAAUGCUAAGGUAGGGGCAUACAUACUAUACUAUAUUACUUAUUACAGGCAAGGAAGCACUAACGGUAUGAAGACUCUCAUUGCAGCUGACUUUGGCAAGCCUCGGAUCCUUCUCUUGCAACACCUGAUAGAGAGUCGACAACCUCAACUCACACUGCUGAAGAAUUCUUAGUUGACUCGGCAACUUACAAUAAAUACUCUGUGCUCUCACUUUUAUAAGCAUUACUCAUCCUAUAGCCAAGCAGUAUAUCCUGGGAAGACCUUUGCUUAUGGAGCACUUAUCGUUUUGGCCUUUCUUUGCCUUUGUAGUAGUGACUGCAUUGAUUCUUCAAAUUCUAUAAAUGAUUUCUUAUAUAUUAUAUAAUAGAACAAUAGAACUGAUGAAACUGCUAAUGAGUCUGACCUAGAACUGAUGAAACAGCUAAUGAGGAAUUAACAGUAAAGCCUAACUGCUUCCCUUUCUGACCCAACUAAGACAGAUUCCACUGGCAAGGAAGCACUAAAUAGCCCCGGGGUGAAGACGAAACUAGGGAUGAAACCUACUCCUAGUAAGCGCUAACCUAGGAACUCCGCCUAUAUUCCUUCCCCCCUCUCUCCUUCCAACAAGCCCAGCAGCUGUCAACUAUUGACUGACUGAAUGAGGCCGGCUCCUCUACCGUAGUUAACAAAUACAGAAAUGGACUAGCGGCCCUUUAGCCAUGAAUACAGGACUCAUAGGGGCACCGAACUAUAAAGACAGAAAUCAACCCUGCUUAAUUGACUCAUUGCCCGGACUGCCGCCCGAACAAAGCACUUGGUGUUAACUCUAUUAUUAACUGACUGUUUCUUGUCUGCUUGGCCGGUAUUCCACUGGCAUUAAAGAAUGAAACUUGCUGAUGGCUCCUAUAGCUCGUUAAAGAAUCUAUCUCCUAUAGCUCGUUAAAGAAUCUAUCUCCUAUAGCUCGCUAACUUUCAUUCUCACUUGCGGAAUUCUUAUCCUAUAACUCCGCCCCUAACUCUAAUAAGUGUUCACCCCGACCCGAACGAAACUUUCCACUUACUUUACCUCGAACAGCAUCUUUUCUCUCUCCUAUAGCUCUGGCAACAGGCAAUACUUCUGACUUUGUUAACUACUGACGAGUUUCAUUCUUACUUGAUAACUGGAACUGGGGCAGACCUGCUUGCGCCAUCGGAUCUAGCUUCUAUUCCACCUCUUACCUAUGUCCUUUAGUAGUAGUAGCACUGGUAGCAAUGCCAAUAUUACCCUGCAAACUGGGAAUUCCGCAUCUGUAUUCUGAUACGACUUCUUCAACACCAAAGCUAUCCUUUCUUCACCGACUACACUAGCACCUAACCUAUCUUAUACUGGGCCAAGCAGCCAAGCAACGGCUACUGAUGCUGAUUCUAUUUCUUCCCUUGAUUCUUCUGUCACUCCUAUUGAGAUUUUCCCUUGAUUCUUCUGUCACUCCUAUGCUCUCGAUCGCGUAUAUAGUCCCUUGUUCUUAUUCUUUCUAUGGCAUCUUAUCUUCUCUUUGGAACCCCUGAUUUCAGUAUGAUUGAGGAUCCCCUUCAUUCUCGUAUGUGAUGAAUCCAUAGAUGAUCAAAGGAAAUCCGAUUUCGGCAUGAACCCGCUUACAACUCAUUAUUGAUUGAACCCGCUUACAACUCAUUCGUGAUUGAACCCGCUUACAACUCAUUAUUGAUUUCCCCUGUUAGUCUGCCUCUAACUCUACUUGGUUUCAACCUUGUUGAUUCUUUUCUGACUCUUUCCUAUGCUAUGGUUAAGGCGUUGGUGCACAUUCCACGGUUCUUACUAUUAAUAGGCGUAUUUCUCUUCCAGGGUUUCGAGGUUCGAUCUCACAUUACAUUACACUCACAUUACAUUACAGGUUAUCGAGUAGUUGCUAAGUUCACUUGUCUCUGCUUGUCUGUUCUUUUGAGUUUCUCUUGUUUGAUUACAAUACCCUAGCCCUACCAGAACAAGUAAGUAAACGAAUUCUUCUUUCUGACCUCUACUCCCAGGAUUGGAUACCUUGCGAAGGAUACCCUGGCUAAGAAAUGCACUGAGAAAAGUAUAAGUACGAUCCCCUAAGGCAUCAGAUAAGGUACGAAUGAAACUACUCAUUCAACAUAUUUGUAUAGGACCUACAAACGGAAAGUAAGCCUGCCAUUCCUCACUCUAAAGCUACCGACCUCAGAUCCGUGCCUAUCCGCGCCUUUCUCUCAGCUUUCUUACUGCCCUGGCUUUCAUGUCUCCGUUCCUGCUACUACUGCUUGCAACUCCUAUGUGCGAGUCUUCUUCUCCUUUCUUUCAAGUAGUAAAUACAGAGUGCAACUCAACAGUACAAUAAUGACUCAUAAGUAGGGAAUUUUACCCUAAAGCAAGAAUCCAUCAAGUAAGUCACAGAGCGAAACCCAAUAGUCAAAGAAUAAUGGAACAUAGGAAUGCCGGGCAGGAAAGUCAGCCUCACUGUUUCCAUUAAGACUAGAAGGAAGGAUCGGCAGGUUCACUCUCGAACUGUAGAAUACACGACAUGGUUCUCAUACUUUAAGAGGGAGGCGGCCGGUAUUCUCUUGCUGAUUCUCUUUGUGGGCGUUAUUUAAGUCUUAGAGGUGAUAGUUUUGUUUCCCCUACUAAUGAGUUGAUUUCUCCGACUCAAGAGUGUAUUUCCCCUGCUUGAGCUUAGGUCUUAUACCAAUGGGGAAACUCUGAUGCUUGCUACUCAAACUAUUAGUAUAUAACUAGAUGCGCUAGCUGUACAGUACAGACUUAGGCUUUAUACUUCCGGUAUAUAUAGUUCACUUGUGAGCCUGUGCCCCUCGUAAUUCUUCUUCUCUUCUUGCUAUACCUUAUUUAGCCUGCCUUUCAUUCCUAUACUAUUAAAUAUUCAUCUGAUUCCUAUGCUAAUAAGGAUCACACUACUGCGGAUGAGGCUACUACUACUUAAUUUCAUUCAUACUUAUCAGAAGGAACACCUGGGCCCUAGACCAUACCACCUUGCUAGAUUAGAUCAUAGUCACCUACCCUAUUCUCAGUAUCCAAACUUCAGAGUCACAUUCUUAUGUUCCGUACUCCAUUCUGUAAUUCUGAUUUCUCA